Cavia porcellus (domestic guinea pig) is the source of this 45655-nucleotide RNA transcript. It is a transcript of the gene named zinc transporter ZIP11-like, with no coding region annotated. The record is from RefSeq and is a predicted model, not a curated record. Lineage: Eukaryota; Metazoa; Chordata; Mammalia; Rodentia; Caviidae. The transcript has 10 exons.
UGAUUCUGAUGGACGAUGUGGUUUGAGGACCACUGACCCAGAGAAUGAUGUGCCACUCCCCCAUCUGCUCCUCACUCUCGCCUCGCUCACCAGAUACGGAGCAACACCAGGGACCCCACCAAGAGCUCUCCUCUGGGCGUCUGCGCCCUCUCCAAGACCGCCCGCCCGCCCAGGCUCUCCGGCUGCGCUCAGACGGCUCCGCGCUCCGCCUCAGGCAUCUGCUCCGCCCGCUCCGGUCCGUUCCCGACCCGGCGGAAGGCUGUGAACCAGAGAAUUAAUUCUUCCGGCAGGCUUUUCCAGGAGCGGCGGGGCGGGGCCUGGCGGCAGAACGGCCACGUGCGUCAGGGGGAAGCCGGAAGUGGCUGCGGGAGUGGAGCCGUGGGAGCGAGCCGAGCGGGGGCUGAUGGGAGUGGAGUGGGGGCUGCAGAGGGCACCCCGCUAUAUCCAUCAUGCUGCAAGGCCACAGCACUGUGUUCCAGGCCUUGCGGGGGACCUUCUUCACCUGGGGGAUGACGGCAGCUGGGGCAGCCCUCGUGUUCGUAUUCUCUAGUGGACAGAGGCGGAUCUUGGAUGGACGCCUUGGUUUUGCCGCAGGGGUGUGCUUUCCACUGAAGGCUCUAAAGGCACAUAUAAUUCUGACACAGGAUUCUCCUGACUACUCAGGUCUCUUGAAGGCUUUCACCGAGCUUGAUCUCAUGUGUUCUGUGGGCCAUGCGAGAGUGAAUUUCGUGAAAGGGGUACGCAUUUCCAGAAUUCUUUCCAAUUCACGAGACUUCGUGAGGAUGUUCUCCAGUACUGUGAGUGACACAUGCGUCUGUCCCAAGUCCCUGAAGAAGAAAGCCAGACAGAAAUGAGGAAGCCCAAUGCCAAAAAUCCGUGCUUCAACAGGUAUUUGAAGGAUAUCUUAUUAUUGCACUUUUGCCUCCCAGUGAAACAAGCCAGCACAUAAGUUUAUCAUGAACUAUAAUCCCAGAGAAGUCUUCAUGCAAAAAUUCAAAUUUAAUGUUUUCAUCAUCAAAUGAAUGACCUUGGCAUUGCAUAGUAGAUGCUGCAUCUGUGUUUCAGUCACCAUCAUACUUCACAUUUUUAUAUUGCAUUCACAUCUCUCACUGUGUUGUUCUUUUUAGUAACAAGGCCACUACGUUUCCUGGGGUAAUGGUGUUCCUGCAUCCACUGAUGUGAUCCGUGUCUACCGUGUUCCUCAGUGGUGCUCCCGAUCCCUGCUGACUCUCUUGCCCAUUAUACAUCUUAAUCCUUCUCUUUGUGAAUAACCUGAUUAAAAUUAAACUUAUGACCUGUAGGAUCAAAGUACAAUACUGUACCAUUCUUGGAAGGAAGCAAGAAGAGCCAAAGUCAUAUUAUGACUUAAAGGUUAUGGCAAUACUUACAGAUAAUUUAAUGCUUUUAAUGUAAAAAGUGAUGGAUCUUCGAUAGUUGUCAGAGGAUUAUUAUUGAGAAUUCUGAAAAAUGCAAUGGAAUAAAAGUUAUCUAUUUUCAAUAUGCAUGAAAUUACCUCAAAAAUUGAUGUUCAUUUUCUAGUAUAGAGCUUUUUCAUUUUCUGUGAUUACUUAUGUAUAAACAUUAGAAUGCAUAAAGAACUGUUCCUUCUGGGUACUCUAUAGUUUUCUAAAAGAAACUACAGAAAAGAGAAAGUGAAAAAAAUGUGGAAAAAAUGUGGAUAGAAAAGACAAAAACAAGAAAAGGGUUAAAAACGAAAACCCUAAAAGUGACUGCACCAUCGGGAAGCCUUCACUAGAAGCCAACAAACCUAACAUUCAUGUAUAGGACACUUCCCAACAACAAGGUAAAACCAGAAGAAACACAGUCUUCUUAAGGGCACAAUGAGAGGACCUGUGAGUGCCACAUGCAUCUGUCCCAAGACCUUGGGACCCUUUACUCUUAGGUCUAUUGAGAUAGACUAGGUCAAGUCUCCAUAAAUGGUUUUGCUUCUUUUGAGGCAGGGUCUCUCUGCAAUACCAAUCAGCUCCAGGCUUGCUAUGUACCCCAGCAUGUGCUUGAAGUUGCAAUCCUCAUUGCUGAACCUCCCAUGCUGGGAUUACAAGCAUGUGUCAUCACACCUACUUCGAGUCUCAAUACACUUAAAAGGACUAGUACACAAAAUAUGUUCUCUAAAGAAGGUGGAAUGAAAUCACAGAUCAAUGACAGGAAGAAGUCUGGUAAAUUCCUAAAUAUGGAAAUUAAGCUUAUAUAAGGAUCCUACUGGUCAAGAACAAAUAACAGAGACGUGAAAAAACAUGUCAAUGAAGCAAUAAAUAUAAAUGGUGACACCCAGCACCAACACUUUAGGAAAGCUAUACACACAAUUGCAAAUAUUAAAGAUUCUCAUCAGUAAUAUAAAGCUCUGAAUAAACAAGGGGAAAACCCAAGAAACUUAAAAAAAGACAUCAGAAAGAAAAAAUAAAGAGUAAGAUCAGAGAAAAGUGAAAUAGAGAAUUAGAAAACGGUAGAGAAAUUCAACAUACCCAAAAAUUAGUUUUUAACAAAGGUCCUGGGCAGAUAGCUUAGCAGCCUAGCAGCCCCCUGCCUGCUUGGCAAGUGUGAGGCCCUAAAUUGUAUUGUAGAUACCAAAACAAAUCAAUGGUAAAAGGUCAACUAUGCUGGGCUGGGUGUGUAAUCCCAGCACUGGGGAGGCUGAGGCAGAAAGACAGCUGUGAGUUCAAGGUUCGCAUUAACUAUACAGUAAGACCAUGUUUGGGGGGCAAACAUCAUUAUCAAAGAAGGGGACAUUGCUGGGUGUGGUGACACAUGCCUAUAAUCCCAGCACUUGGGACCUUGGGACAGGAGGAUCUGUGUCUCAAACAAGGGUGGGAUUAUUACUGACCUGGAAUGGAUUGUUAAUAACAUGGAAUGGAUUAUAUGGGAAAACCAAAAAAUUAUCUGCCAAUAACUUAGAUAACCCAGAUGACAGAUACAGGUCUAGAAACUGAAGGAAAAACAAAACCUGAACAGACAUAUUUAAAUGUAAUGAUUGAGUUAUUGACCAAAACUUCUCACAAAAGAAGAGCCUUUUGUUUUCUCUUUGGUGGGAUGAAAAGAAUCUCACAAUCAGAUGGCUUCACUCGUGAAAUCUGCCAACUGAUUAAAAAGCCAAUAACCCCAACCCUUCAAAACAUUUUCUAAAAUGUAAGUGAAGAAUACUUCCUAAUUCAUUCUAGGAGUCAGUAUUCCCCAACCACACACACACCAAAAAAAAAAACACAUGAAGAAAUCAAGAAAAUUAUAUAUACAUGUAUAUGAAUAAACAUAUAUGAAUAUAUGUAUGUAUGUAUAUUUUUCUUGUACCAGGGUUUGACCUCACAAUCUCACACUUGUCAGGCAAAUGCUGUGCUGCUGAGCUAUAUCCUUAGCCCUGAAUCAAUAUUUCUUAUGAAAACAGAUAUAAAAUUCCUCAACAAAUACUUACAAACCACAUUAAACCAAGAAUACAGCUAACACUAUGCAUCAUGACCAAGUCCAGGAAUGCGUUCGGCUCAACAGAAAAAUCAAUAAACCUAAAACACAAUAUUAAUAGAAUAAAAGAAACAUGUUCAUCUACAUUAAUGCAGUGGGAGCAAUUAAAAAUUAACUCAUUUUCACUAUAAAACCAUCCACAAACUAGGAAUAGAAUCACCUCAGGAGUGGAGACAUCAGUACCUGUCUGGCGAGGGCCAGGAUAUGAGUUCAAUCACUGGUACCAAGAAACAAGCAAACAAACAAAAAAGAGUCACUUCAGCCUAAUACAGGGGACUAAAAGAAAAGGGGAAAAAACCACCAUGGCUAUAUUUAUUAAAAUCUAUAUGGAGGUUUGAGCUAGGACAGCUGGGGAAAACAAAAUGGGAUCCAUACUGGAAACACCAAGCUAUGUAUAAUUGCAUAUGCAUAUAGAAGACUAUAGAGAAACCAGGAAUCUUGCUGCAGGCCUGUGAUCCUAGCAUUUUGGGUGGCCGGAGGAUUCCCAUCUGGACAUUUAACCAAUUAAGCAGAUAUUGUCUCAAAAUAAAAAUAAAGCAAGGGACAAGAGUGUAGCUCAGUCCCUGGUACAAGUGUGAAACUAUAAGCCAGUCAUUGUGGCAGUACAUGUCUAUAAUCCCAGGACCCAGGAGGCUGAGGCAGGAGGAUCACUCUGAGGUGGAAGUCAGCCUGGCCUGCAUAGUACCUUCAAGGCCGGUCUGAACUCCGUAGUGAAACCUCUUAAUUAAACCGAAAAACAAAUCAAAAGAGAAGAGAAAACCAUAAUGAAUGCAUACAUGGAAGGAAACUACGACUAAUAAGGUUGUAGGACACAAGAUCCUUAUGCAAAAAUUGGCUGCCUUUUUCCAUUGCAGUGUAACUCAAUGCAGCAUACUUUCCUAGCAUAUACAAGGCGCUAGGCUCCACCCCCAGGGCCAGAAAGAAAAUUAAGAAUGAUAUUAAGAAAAUUAUCCCAUGUGUUGACAAGAAUAGUACUAAAUGUAACCAAAGAAGUACAAAACAUACAUUGAGAACUAUAAUCCACUGUUAAAAAAGAAAUUAAAGAUCUAAAUGAAUAGAAGACAUUUGUGUUCAUGGCUCAGAAGACAUCAUUACUAUUAAGAGGUCACAUCUUCCAGUGAUAUAGCCCAGCAGCACAGCACCUGUCUAGCAAGGACUAGGCCCUGAGUUCGAUUCCUGAUACAAAAAAAAAAAAAAAAAAAAAAGAUGUCACUAUACUUCAAGCUGAGCUAUGAUUUCAGCACAGGUCCUAUCAAAAUCCCAGGUACCUGGGCUGGGGCUGGGCUCAGUGGUACAGCACUCACCUACCAAGCACGAGGCCCAGUACUGCUAAACAAAAUGAAACGAAACAAAACAUAAAACUCCAGCUGGAUUUUUCCAAAACCUGGCAAGCUAGUUUCUAAAAUUCACAUAGCAAGUCAAGAGAUUCAGGAUCACCAAAACCACCUUGAAAAAGAACAGGCUAGGACUCAGUUUCCACUUUCCAAACCCAGUGGAGAUCUACAGCAAACCCAAGUGUGGUAUUAGAGUAAGACUAGCCUGUAAAUCAAUGGAAUCGUGCUGACGGUCCAGGAAUAAAUCUUCACCGUUACCAUUAACUGACUAUUGGCAGGGUGUGAAAACAAUCCGCUGUGGAAGGAAUACGGAGUCAGUGGUGGGGCUGCGAGCCACGCACUCGCUCUUGCCUGGUGAGCUUCCCCAUUGAGUGCAUCCUCCCAGAUACGGUUUAACUUGCUUCAUUUGUAACAUUAGUCAAUAUUCAAUGAGAUGAUGUCAUGAAGUGAAAGAACAUGAAUGUCACGUAACUAAUCAGCACAGUGGCUCAAAGUAUAGCUUUCAAUAGGCCACUCACUGCUGGGCUCUGUGAAAGCGGGUUCUCCACCCCUACCUCUUCUCUCCCUGCUUCCUUUCCCCCAGCCACUAAGAAUGACGGUGAAGGCCAGGCCCAGUGGGGCAGGCCUGUGGUCCCAGCACACUAGGAGGCUGAGGCCAGAGGUCAAAAGUUUGACCCAGCCCGGAUAGUUUAGCAAUUUCAGGAAACCUUGUUUCUAAAUAAAAAGACGGGGCAUGUGGCUCAGUGCAAAAGCCCUCGGUUUAAUCCCCAGUACCACAAGAUGGCAAUAAAAAUGACUAUAGAGCUUGUCUACCCUGGCCGGUCAACAGGAAACCUUCAGAUGCUCACAACUGUCAUGCCAGGCCAGGAACUCUACGAGUGUCAAACUAGCAGAAAACAGUUGGAGCUGUCUGUCCCAAAAGUCCUACUGAAGUUAGAAGCCAACUCCCAAAGUACAGUCAAAGUACAAAAAGCCAAACUGUUAUCAGUCAGUUCCUAGUACAAGGGAACAAAAGCUGCAUAGAAAACUGUGUGCAAAGCUGACCGAGUAAUCCUACCACUCACGAAUGGUGUGCACCUGACUGACUUAGCCCAGGCUUCUGAGUCCAGCUUCCUCGUCUUUGAAUUAGUGGGAAUAAUAGUAACAAUGCAAGAGUUGUUGGGAAAAUGAGACUAAAGUAACAUAUUUGAGCAUUUGCCACAUGCUAAGUGCCCGUUCAAGAGCGUUCAGUGUGUUAUCUCAAUAGCAUCUCUACUUAAUGUAGUGCCUUAACAGACACCUGAUAAAUGUAGCAUUAAAGAAAUGUGACAGGAAGAGGAAGAACUGCUAAACUUCCAAGAGCAGAGACGUUGCCUUGUUGGAGAAGGAAGAUGAAGUAAUUGCUGGAUGUAACACCCAAAUCUUUUAAACUUUACAAAUUAAAGAGCCAAAGUGUGUCAGCUCAAAAGACAAACCUGAGUUGAUAUUUUCAUGUGUCACGUGUCUGCCUGUGAAGCUAGAAGAACUGCCAAGGUCCCGGUACAGUCCGGAAGUGUAUGCACCGAGAUGAGCAAACACUGUGCAUGGGAGACUGAGGCCAGUGGACUGCUGGGAGCAGGAGGCUGUCUCAGGACCAUGGCUCAGUUUCCCUUUAAUGUGGCCACACUGACCUCAUGAGCAUCCUAGUACAGGGUAAAUACUUCAGCCGGGACAGACUUAGAUUUUCCCCUGUUCUCUCUUAGAUCAGUUGUUGCCUGACCCUAGACAAGCCAGCAUGUGAAUAUACUCUACAUCUGUCAGGGUGUUUCUACUGUAUAAAGUCUUCUCAUGUGUAAAAGCACAGACCUUCACUUCAGGGACGGAGGCAGGAGGAUUGCCUCAAUUUCAUACCAGCCUGGGCUCCAAAGUGAGCUCAAGGCCAGGCUGGAAUACAUAGCAAGAUCCUGUCUCAAAAAUAAUAAAAAACUAAAUGGAGGAUAUUGUAAUGUUAGAACUGAUGAAGUGACUGAAAGAAUUUUCAAAAAGCAGCCAUGAGUGUGCACUUGUGUUGUGGAAUGCAGGAGAAACGCUUGGAAGUCGGGGGCGGGGGGAGCACACUUAACAUUUAGGAACGUCAACUUGGCCAGUUUUUCGUAAUAUAUUUCAAUCCCGAUUUUUCUGAGGUAGCAAGGUUUCAGUUAAUAAACAAAGGAAGAUCAAUGCUCUGCAGAGUGAGUGUGGGCCAACUGAAAGCAGGAAAGUACAGUACACUACAGGGUGAGAGGAGCACUGUGACACAGCACAGUGGCUUCGUCAUCUUGCAGAUGCGAGUCUUCCUACCACUCAGAGUGGCACCUUCCCACCGAGUUCUUGGCGUAUCUUUGAGGUGGGUUUCAGAUUCAAGUGAGAUUGACCCCAACAGAUUGCUAAUUACUGUUCCAAUGUUGUCAGUAAUGCAGAGGCUCUAUCAAAGUUAUUAACUAGGUUAUAAUUCCCUGGCAUGCAGGCAUGAAACCAGACUUAGUGGGGCCUGAACCUUAUGAAAUUUGCAAAGUGCCUUUUAAUGAAAAAGCAUGCAAAAUGUAUGCCUACAGAAAUUUCUAGGCCCCGCCAGGACAUUGGAAGGGUCCUGUGCAAGUGAGGAGUCCCAGGGCUUCCCCUCCACUCAACUCAUGAUAAAUCCACCACAGCGGAGGCAUUUGUGCAGCAGGGAGAAAUACUUCAACUGAUAAUGAGCUCCAGACUGAACAUGUUGGUCAUAAAAGUAUUGGCAUCCUAGCUUGGCGACUUCCCUUUGAAAAGAGAUGCGAUAGGCUUCUGUCUCACUGUGGUGACGGUCAGCUAGCUUUGUCUCCUGGGAAACUUGAACCCAAAGCCCAGGUACCCAGUCCCAAACACACACUUGGUGGAUUGUGACCAUUAUGUUGAUCUUUUUACUUUCUCAGGGGAGAUAGGGGCUUGAUACGUUGCCACGGCUGGCCCCCGCUCCUCAGCUUAAAUGAUCGCCUGCCUCAGCCUUCCUGAGUAGCUGACACUACAGGUGCAUGCCACAAUUGACUGACUGUGCAAAUCUACUGAAGUAACUGUAGAGUAGUUUGAGAGGCAGGGCUCUAUCCACAGCAAGUGCUGUGAGCAUGAAUGUCCAGCACCACUUAGCUCUCACUUUCUCAUCUCCAGAAAGCAACUGCCUUUCUGUUAAGAAAAACCUUAACAUCAGAUGUCACAAGUCACCGUCUCCUCCAUUAUGAGUCUUUUCUAGUGCUUCACCUGUGCCCACUUUCCUUCAAAAGCAAGCCUUCAGUGUCUCCCAGGCUGGGCAUCACCAGGUUGACAAGGAGAGUGAGGAGUUCACACGGUUGAGGAUGCAGGUGAAGUUAACCAGCUCCAGAUGCAUCCUAAACCUCCCCCCCAGGGAUUUCAGACUGUGUGAACUGGACUUUGGACCCACGAGACAGGUGGGAAGUCUUUCCCAACUCAGGUGGAGAUGGGGAUUUUCAUCUUGAGUCUGAAAUCCCCUUCAGGCUAUUAAACAUCAGCAGAAAGGAAGUAAAGCCUGCACUUCUUAUCAAAGGGAGCAGGAGAGAAAGCAUGUGGAAUUGGGCUAGAGAAAUGUAUUUUUAUACAUAUUUUCCACACUAUCUCUUAACACAAACACCCACCUGUUGGACAUUUUGAAGUUCUGAUUGCACACAGAUAAUUCAUAACUUCAGAAGUCAAUAUUUUUUCAAAAACAACAUUGUGGGUGGUUAGGGAGAGAAGUACCUGGUGGCAGGCUUUCAGGAAUUCUUUCUACUUUCCCAUUUAGUGGACACCGGCAGUGAAAAAGCUUUGGUACCUUUUGCUUCUUGUAGAACUUUACAUUAAACUUAGUCCUGUGAAGUUCUCUAGUGUAUAUAUUUGAAUAGUGAGAACUCUGCAUGUGAGAAGCAAGCAAGUGGAAUUUCAAGGAACAUUCGUUCACAGCCUUCACAGCAGCCAUGAGCUCCAAACGAUGCUAAUUUGAGUGUUACCUGUGUGACACCUUGUGUUGCUCAUGCCAAAGACCAGUACCUGAGAAUGCAGAGCAGGCUACCUAGAAGUUAUAGAAGUCAGCUCGCUCAUCUGCAGGAAGCAAUUGCUUUGUGGUAACAAAAACCCACGUGCCUCUAAUCCCAGCACUCAGGCGAUUGAGGCAGGACCAAUGUAAGUUUGAGGCCAGCCUGGACUGCAUAGCAAGACCCUGUCAUCAAAAAUGUUAUAUCAAAUCCCUUGGCCUCUUUGUACCGUAGUUUCCUCAUUUGGAAAUAAUGAAUGUAGUCUUUGGCCAUACCAUCCUGGAUGCUCCUCAUCUCAUCUGAAAAUAAUCAGUGGAUCUUAAGACUUACUUUUCAAAGCUCUUUCAGGAUCCAGCUAGUGAAUAACUGCAUGAAGUUGAUACAUAGAUUUGGUUUUCACAGUUUUUGUUUUUACAUAUGUUUAUCAUUUAUAUCACUUACACUUGGUGUAAAAACUGCAUCCCAUGCCAUGCUUGAAAUGUUCCAAAGCUCACUUUUGUGAGUAAAUUGCAACGAAGAUUUCUACAAAAAAAUAAAAGGACAUAAUUGAAAGAAUAAAGAUGCUCUUUCUGAACCUUUUUCAUUUGGCAGUUAUUUCAACUUAUAUAUGAUGAAACAUCACUUGAAAUAGUUUUUCCAUAUACUAAAGAAAUCUCAUUGGAAGAUGGUGGCUUGUAAUUUAGACUUUCAUAUUUACAUGUGAAAUGCACUAGAUACAAAGAAUGAAAGCUUAAUAAAUACUUGUGCUGAGUGAUCUUUAUUGCUCUUGAACAGCAUUCCACAGCUUGCGCACUAGUGACAUUUGGAGCUGGUUGAUUCUUUGUGUUGAGUGCCUGACUGAACACUGUAGCAUGCUUAGCAGUAUCCCUGAUCUCUGCCCUCUCGAUGCCAAUAGCAAUUGUCACCUCCAUGCAAAAUCAAACCAACUGAGAAUCAUUGCUCUGUAGUGACUCUCUCUGACCUGUGUGAUAAUCUCUAUAAUCCACUUUGGUAGAGGUUUAAAGGAUUUCCCCAUGAGUAGCAAAGAGAUUUUAAGACUAUAAAUAUAAGGAAGUUUUAUUUGUAACUUACAAGAACUUCAAAAAGGGUAGUGCUUCAAAUGUUUCUCUUUCAAUAAACUGUAUUUUAUUGCAGGAUAAAUCUCUAGAACAAGGAAAAGGAAAACAUUGCCUUAAAUAACUAGUAAGUAAGUAGUAUGAACACUAGACUUUAGAAUUCACAAUAUUAAAAACAUUUUUGUCAAAAUCUUGGACUUGUAUCUGAACAUUGUGGACCCCAUAUCCUGUCUCUAAUUCCUCUAGGACUCUCACCUUCAUGAUCUUCAUAGAUAAAGUAUACAACUAUUAGAUUGUGUUUUUCAUUUCUGAACUAGGUAGUCCUGGCUGGCCUUGAACUUACUGUGUAGCCCAGGCUAGUCUCGGACUCACCGUGCUCUUGUCUCCUCCUCCUAGGUGCUAAGACUGCAGGUAUACUACUUAAUGGCUUUUAUUUCUUGCCCUGUCAUUUUGAAACAGUUUUGCUACAGCAUUCAGGCUGGCCCUGAGCUCACUUUGUAGCCCAGGCAAGCCUCAGAUUUGCAGCAAUCCUUCCUCACGCUUUUGAAUGCUAGGAUUACACCACCAAGCCUAGUUUUCAAUUUCUUUUUUUUGUUUAUUUUAAAGAGAAUAAAACAAAACAAAACAGAAGAAAGCAAAUAAGAACAGAACAAUGCAAAUGACAGAGGACUUCUAAACAGGACAAUGGAAAAGUAAUAAUGUCUACCACAAUGUCUCAAUUUUCUUCAAAAUAGCUUGUCCAUACCAUCACAUGAAAUAAAAUCAAACAAAACAAAACAGAACAAAACCAAUCAAAAUUAAAAAAUGAAAACAUUACAUGACUUCAAAACAAGAUAAUAACAAUGGCUACUAUACUGUCUCUUGUUUUCUUCAAAAUAACUUCAUACCAUCAAAACACAAUAGAAUAAAACCUAUCAAAAGAAUUAAAACAUUACAGGACUUCAAAACAAGAUGAUGCGAAAACAACAAUGGCUUCCAUAAUGUCUCAUUUUGUUCAAAAUAGUCAUCCAUACCCUCACACAUAAUAAAAUCAAAACAAAACAGAAUAAAACCAAUCAAAAGAAUAAAAGCAUUAUAGGACUUCAAAAUAAGAUAAUAUAUAAACAAUGAUGUUUACCACAAUAUAUGCUGUUACCUUCAAAAUAGCUGCCCAUAUCACCAAGCACAGUAAAAUCUAACAACCAAGACACAAUAAAACCAAAUCUAACAAAAUUAUGAAAAUUGUAAAAGAGUUGAAAACGAGGUAAUUGGUAAUUAGCAGUGAUUCCCACUUUCCUUUUUUAGGCAUUUCCUCAACUAUCACUGUUAUAAUCUAAUGUGCCUUUUGGAUCCCACUAACUCCUUCAGUUGUUGAUGCUAGGGGGAUAACUUGGUGUUCACCUGUAUGUGUCCAAACCAUUUCACCCAUGAACAUGAUCUCAGUUGCAUCCAAUUCCCUACAAUAGCCUCAAGAUUGCCUACUUUAUAGCUGGGCAGCUUUCCAUUGUAUGUAAAUACCAUAUCUUUCUUAUCCAUUCUGCAGUUCAUGGGCAAGUUACUCUUGCUUUUUUUUUUUUUUUUUUUUUUUUUUUGGUCUCUUGUCACAUAGAACAAUUGUUUUCUCUCCUUUGAUUUUUUGUCUAUGCAUGCCACAGGUUUGCCACUACUGCCUUAGGGCCGGGAAUGUUUCAUAAUUCCAGAGACUAUUUUUAGUCCCAUAUAGUAAAAAUUCUUUAUGCCUACUUUCUUCAAGCCUUCUACAUUUGAAAAAAGGCUCUAUUUGCCAAAAUACCACAAAAUUAGUUUAAUUAGCAUUAAUAAUAUUUACACUUCUGGACCCACUGGACCAGAAACCAAACCAAACCAAACACAAAACAACAAAACAAAAAUCAAGCUUUCACACCAAAGAACAUAGUAUCCUCCUUUCUCUAAACUGUUAAAAAUACUAUGCAAGUAAUUCCUCUUUGAAAACAAGACUGCAGAGAUUGUGAUUGUUUUAGUGAAGAUGGAGUAUUUCUAUGCUGAGUGUAAACAUUUCCAGCAAUAGCAUUUUUUUUACUUUUUUACUUUUUUUUUUUUUUUUUUUUUUUUUUUUUGAGACAGGGUCAUGCUAUGCAGUUCAGGCUGGCCUUGCGCUCACUUUGUAAGGCAGGCUGGUCUUGAACUUGCAAUAAUCCCUUGCCUCAGCCACCCAAAUGCUGGGAUUUCAGGAGUGCACCACCACACUAUACCACUUAAUCACGAUUUUAAACACAUGUUUUUAAGAUGGGUGUCAUAAUUCCAGCACUAAAAUGCUGGCAGUCAAUUCUUCUGGUAUCUUAAUCAUCUGGAUAAUACAACAGUUUACCCGCUUAGUUAAUUAUUUAAUACUUUAGAAACUUAUUUAAUACUUUAAGUGUUAGUUUCAUUCAGAUUCAAUCAUCUAAGCACUCUGGGUUAAUGGCACUCAGAUUAGCACAGGCGGUCUACACAGUACAUUCUGGUCCUCUAGACAGCAGUCUAAGGUUAACUUUAAUUCUUUUGUUCUGAUUCAGCUUUUUCAAAUCUCUAUUGUAAACACCAUAUAGCAAAUACUUAUAGACUUUGCAGGUCACAUAUAGUCUCUGUUGUAUAUAUUCAUGAGAGGUUUGUUUCUUUUUUGUACUGGGAAUUGAACUCUCAAAUUUGCAACCUCACACUUGCCAGGCAGAUGCUGUACCACUGAGCUAUAUCCCCAGCCCUCCUUUUCUUUUAAACCACUUAAAAAAGAAAACACAACAAAAACAUAAUGAACUUAUGAGCUAAAUAAAAAAAGACUGGAUCAAUUGGAUUGAUGGCCCAUAUGGUAAAUACAAAUACAAGCCAAUGGUACAUAAGCACUAAUAAAACAAGGUUCAUGUUAUAACACCGGUAAGUGCUCAGAUCUUAUUACUACUUUUUCUGUGUAAGUUGGGCUUUCCCAUUUGUACCUUAUGAUUUAAAAAGUGAAAAUGGGGCUGAGGAUUUAGCUUAAUGGCAUAAGCGUCUGCUUGGCAAGUGCAAAGUCAUGCAUUCAAUCCCUGGUAUCAAAAAAGAUAAAAAAUGAAAAUAAAAAUAAAAAGUGAAAAUGUGCAUAGCAUUUUUGAUGAUAGACAUAGACUGAGACCUAUACAAACUUGCACACUUACAGCAUUUUAUUUCUGGAAGAGAUUUUGGAGAAUAUAUAAUUAGAACUGCCUCCUCAUUUUACAGAUAACUCUAAACUCAAAUAAACAUGAUUAACUUACAAAUACUGGAGGUUUAGCAGGCCUUCAAAGGAAUCCUUACGUAGUUCGGUGAUGUAAUUUUCACUGAGAUUUCUGGAAGAUGAAAAGGUUAUUUUUAAAUCACAUUUCCUCAGAAACCUGAAGGAUAUGCAGUGAUGAAAAAGCGGAGGAGGGAGGCGGCGGCGGUUAAAAAAAAAAAAAAGAAAGAAAGAAAACGCGGAGGAAAUGAGCACUGUCAGGUCCUGCCACGUGGAGUGUACCUGGAGCAAUUAAAGUCUCAUAUCUACAACAAUCUCAUGCCAACAAUCCCCUUUGUAGGCACCUGUUCUACAGAAAUAUUUGCCCAUGUUCACAAAGAAGCAUCAACAAGUGUUCAUUGUGUGGUACAGGUAACAAGAAAGCUGGAGAGGACUGGGGAUACAGCUCAAUGGCAUAAGCAUCUGCCUGGCAGGUGCAAGGUCCUGAGUUCAGUUCCAGGUGCCAAAAGAAGAAGAGGAUAACAAAAGAAACCUGGAGAGGUACCUCCCCAAAUAAGAGACCUGACCAAAAACUGGGCAACUAAAAUGAAUAGACACAUCUCAGAAGAGAAGCACCAACAGCCGAUAAAUGCAUAAAAAAUGUUCAAUAACUAUGGUGCUUAGAGCAUUGUAAAGUAAUAAUAUUCCAUCUUACCCCACAAGGAAUGGAAUCAGCAGGAAGUCAAACAAUAAAAAAUGCUAGUGAGGCUAUAGGGGAAAAACACUUCGAUGUUGCUGGUAGACAUGCAAACUAGUGCAGUCACUGUGGGACUCGGUGUGGAACUGCCUCAAAAAACAACUAGCCAUUCCACUUGACCCGGUUAUUCUCCGUCUAGGUAUUUUCCCAAAAGAAUUAAAGGCAUCAUGUUACAUUGAUGAAUUCAUAGUCGUUUGUAGCAGCACAACUCAUAAUAGCUAAACCUUGGAAGGGCCCGCUAUGUCUAUCGACAGAUAAUGGAUAAAAACAAUGUAUUUACACACAGUGCAGUACUCUGCCAUAAAGAGAAGGAAACUUCAGUCUUUUGCAGAAAUCAAACAUGUUUAAUUAUAUCAUGAGUUCUGUUAUAUGGGAAACCCAAUGUCUAAAUAAAAAGCAAAAUUAAAGAAAGAUAAUAGGAAGAAGGGCGAUAGAUCUUUCUCAGAAAGAUGAUGAUCAAGAAAUGGGGGGAAGGGGAUGGAGAACCGGAUGAGAAAAAGAAUUGAAAUGUAUGGUAUCAUGUACAUGUGGCAAUUGCCCAUGAGGGAUGUAAUCAUCAUAUACUGCAGUGCACUAAUUUUAAAAAAUGAAAAAAUCCUGGAUAUACUCUAAACAUCCAUCAAUAGGGAUAUUAUUAAAUACACCAUGACAGCCAGGCAUGGUGGUGCACCUCUCAUCCCAGAACUUGGGAGACUGAGGCAGGAAGAUGGGCUACAUACAUGAAUUCAAGGUUAUCCUGUACUAUGUAGCAAGACCCUUUCUCAAAAAAAAAAAAAAACCAAAACCCAAAUUAAGACAAAAUGAAUACACCAUGUGAGCUGCGGUGGUGCAUCCCUGUUAUCCCAGCCCUCAAGAAGUUGAGGAAGCAGAACUGCCGUGAGUUCAAGGCCAGCUUGCCCUACAUGGUGAGACUUGUCUCAACACAAACAAGUAAAAAUACACACUAUGGAAUAUUGUAGGAGUGUAAGUGAGUGGGUAACCCACUAUAUGUGGGGUAGGAGAGUACUCUGGGGUAUCAAAAGUGAGAGAUUCAAGUUGCCAGGUAGUACUGUUUAGGUAAAAAAAAAAAAAAAAAAAAAAAGACAGCCACCUGACAACCCUAUUUCACUGUAUGUCAGUAUGUGUGCAGGCAAAUGCAUGGGAAAGAUCAGGAAAGAUACAUCAGAUUCAGACUAGUGGUUACCUCAUUGAUGGGUCAUUAGAGCAUAUGGAAGGUCUUACCUGUUAUUUCAUCUUUAUUCAUUAAGAAUAUAAUCACAUUCUCUUUGUAUAAAAAAAAUAAAUUUCAACUGUUUCUUUCCAAGAGGAUCUGUGAGGGUUGGGAUUUAGCUCAGCAGCAUGAGCGCCUGCCUAUCAAGUGUGAGGUUGUGAGUGCAAUCCCUGCUACCAAAACAAAAAGAAAGAAAGAAAGAAAGACAUUGCUCACCAAGAGGGUGUAUGAAAUUUAAUUCUUUCUCUUUGUCUCUCUCCCUCCCUCCCCACUUCCAGAGCUGGGGCUUGAACCCAAGGGCUCACACAUCUAAACACAUGUUUUAAUCAAGUGAGGUUGACCUGAGAUAAGAUGGGGAAAUACCUUUGUUCAAAAGUGUUCACCUCAACAUUCUGAAUCAAGGAGGAUCCUGGUUUUUGUAUGAAGUUUUUAUAUUCAUAUUUUAAAAGAUUAUACUCACAGUUUCUCAGCCCAACGGUAGGUUUUCCAUGCCCCUUUUUGUAUACUAUAAAUAGAGUUUCCUUGGAAAUCCCUGUGAAGAAACAAUUUAUGUCUUUGAAUAACUGGGAAAGGAAUAAAUACAAGAAUCCUAACAAUAUCCAGGAUAUUCAAACACAGAGACAAUAACAGCUUUUCAUUUCCAGAACUAACAGCUCCCCAGUUUGCACAAGACAGUCAGACUAAGGAGCAGCCAGCACAAAUGAUGAGACUUUUGCUCAGCAGCUCAGCUUCCUAUCUGUCCAGUCUCCUGGAUUAAUGAUGUCGGUCACUUAGUUUUAAUUUAAGUGUUUUUCCCAAAAUCACUUGGGUACAAGAUGACUCCUACAAAUCAAUAAGUAAAAGAAAAAUCAUUCAACAGAAAAAUGGGCCAAAAUGCAUCAUUAUUAGUGAGUAAGAAUAAAGCAAGCCUCUGCCAGCUGGCGCCAAAGCUUUGGCUCAGUACCCUUUGUGGAAGCUCUGCAGGCAGUGGAAGGAUAAGGGCAAGAGCAACGUAGAGGAGCUAACGUCCUGAUGUGGAAAAACCGCUUGGACUUGAUGCACAGGGAAGAAGAGGAACCACCAGGCAAGCAGUAAACCAUCACCUGGUCAGGGCAAAAACUGCAAAGGAGAAGGAGGAACCCACACAAAACUGGCACCAGGGCUUAUCUCCCGUGUGACAGGGUGAGGGAGACAGAUGGUCAAGCAUAUAAGGGUAUGGAUCUCCCAUUAUUCCAUACACAUCUCUGACUCCUUUUUAAAGGAGGUCUAUCAUGCCUUGCCAACGAGUUAUUAGGUCAGGAGUAGGGGAGCACGCCUGUGAUCACAGCACUCAGGAAGCUGAGGCAUGAAGAUACCAGUGAGCCUCAGGCCAGCCUGCCUCGAACCAGGGUUCAGUUCCAAUUUUGCGGAAACUCAUUCUUUAUCCGUCAGCAACAACUUUCCUGCUCAGUUUGCAUACACUUUUCCUGAGGAUGGCGGGAAAGCAAUCUGUCUGCUCAUGCGCCUAGUGAACAUUUCCACGUGACCAGAUGCAUUCUCAUUGCUCUGCGCUCACCACGGCCUCAAACAGAACUUGUGCCCCUCAAGCUGGCUCUCCUCCCUGCUUGGGGCUGCCACCUGUGACACCUCCACCACUCAGCUCCACACAGCAUGGAGACGGGAGCUCACAGGAGUUUGCUCUUCUCUGUCCACCCUGCCCUCAGCUGUUUACUGGGUGGCUUGGUCACGCAGUGUUCCAGUGUUCACCCACUCUCACACCAGCACCCUGCUCAGCCACUUGUCACUUAUCCCCAGGCUCCUAGAGAUUCGAGGUCUCCCUGAAUUCAGCCUUCCCUUCCAGAUGCCUCCACAUGUGGAGUCUAACAGGGUCCUCCUGUUUUGAUCAUUUUGCUCUCUGGCUUGAAAACUCUGUCUCUCUGUGUCUGUCUGUGUGUCGGUCUCUGUCUCUGUGUCUCUCUGCCUGUCUGUCUCUCUGUCUCUCUAAAGACCCUAAAGUUGAUAUUCAGUGUUCAUAAUUUGAAAUAAUACCUCAUUGCUUGAUAACCCUGUUCUUUUCAGGCAGACUGGCCUGUGCAGCCAUGUUCAUUCCUGCUGCCAUGCCUUUGGGCUGGCCUUCCUGUGUUUCCUCUGCUUGACAAUUGCAGGCACUCUAAGCACCAGCUAAGGUUUGAGCUCCCCCAUGCAGUGUUCCCUAACCUUCAAAUCUUGUGACUCUGCAUCUAUUCUUUAUGGCCCCACCACCUCCGCUAAGGCUCUUCCCCUCCCUUCUAUCAUUUUCAUGUUCUGGAAAAAGCAUUAUGCUUCUUUAGUUCCCCAUGUACUUAGCUCUGCAGGAGUGAGCACAAACUAGAUACUGCAAAGCAAGGGGCAAAGGUGAGUUCUGCACAUAAUUCAGGGCCUCAACAACAACAACAGUAGCUAAUAUUCAUACAUAUGGGGGUGCUGUUACUUGUAUCACAAUGUUCUCUUUUCUGACACAGUCCUGUGAAACAGUAAACAUUAUAUUCCUCCUUCCACAGAUGAGGGAAGUGAGUCACAGACUAACUUGCAAAAUGUUACAAAGAUAAUGAAAGAGAUGUCUGGGUUAAAAUGCAGGCCGUCUGGGUCAGGCAGAUUCUAUUCCUUUUUCCAAGGGGUGAGGGAUACUAGGUAUCAAACCCAGGACCCUGAGUGUACAAGACAGGCAGUGUACCUCUGAGCUACACCGCCAGGCCCAGAAUCUACUCGUGCCCACAUUGCUGUAUCACCACUAAGGAAAUGAGUUGUGAAAAGGGGGGAGCAAAAAUAGGAGAGUAAGUGUUAGGUGGUGGGAUAAGUAAAGUGCAACCCAUCUGGGACCCCACCUGUCUCUCAGGAGCUAUUCCUAGUCACCACUCCUAUUCCCCAGUAAAUUUUCCUACCCUUAACCUCCAUUGUUCCUAAGAAUUCACUCUUCAUCUUCAGCGAAAAUGAACUCAGUGUGUCUGACUUCCAGUAGGUUGGGAGUGACGUUCUGUUAUUUUUGGGUUUUUCUUUUACCUAUUUCAUCAUAACCUGGGCAGUGCAGGUGACAGCAGACACAGUACUGUCAAUCCAUCUGCUCCUCUUAGCUGACUUGCAGGUGCUUCGUGAAACGUUUUACUUUCCCUGAUUUAAAGACUUGAAAGCAGGCUUACAACUCUGGGCCAAGCUUGGUGAAUUCACUAAGACCGUGUCUCAAAAUAAAAUAUAUGAAGAAAAAAAGAAGGAAAAAGGGUAAGAGGGCACAAAUAGUACAAAGAGAGUGGAAUAAGGAAAAUUGAGAAAGAAGAAGGUAAAAACAGAAAGUCAAUGUGAACAGGGGAUGUGAGGACAGUCUAGGAAGCCCUUGAAGAAAGGGCUGUCACCUCAGGCACAAUGCAGACAACAAAAGAAGAAAACUGAUCCUUACAAGACUGUGAAGGAGUUGACCUCUACGACGGGUACUUGGCGCAGCCUUUGCUUCGGGUUGAGACCCGUACAUGACAGGGUGUCAUUGUCACAGGUGCAGAGCUCACAUAUGUUGCUAGUGCUGGUGGCAUCCUGCACCAUUUGUGCAGAAUAAUGGUUAGUGUUCUGUUCCACAUCCAAAGGUUGAUCCGUGAUGGGAGUCAGGUGUGGAUGUGAAGAUGUCAACCCAUGCUGCUUCAGAGCAGGAGUAGAAGCCUUGUGCAGGGCCACAGAAUGUUCAGCCUCUGUAGUGGGUGCUGCACUUUUGGUAAGCACUACUCCCAAUGGUUGGAUGGUGCCAAUGGGUGAUGUUGGAGGCUGAGCUAGAUCCUGACCUUGUGAAGUUGGAUUGGGCAUCUCACGUGGUAUGGCAAUUUUAACUACAACAUCCAUAGAUGCCUCUGGAGGCUGAGAGGGGUUCUCCUGGAUCACUGAGGAAGCUUUAGUCCUCAUAGCAGGUAGUGGAGUCAUGGAACGACCUGUGUCCAUCUCAGGAGCCAUAUUUUGAUGGUGAGAAUGCACCUGGCCUUGAUGUGCAAGGUUCACCUCAGGAUGCUUCUGAGGAGAAGAAGCUGCCUUCUGCAAGUCCACAGAAUGUCCAGCCUCUACAGUAAGGUCAGGAUGUGUGAUAUGGACCAUGUCCAGUGGUUGUAUCAUGCCACUGGUCAAUGGUGGAGGCUGAGCUGGACUCCGACCCAGUGAUAUUUGAUUUGCUUUAGCAGGUGAUACCAUAUUUUGAUCUAUAGCCUUCAAGGAUGGCUCUGGAGGCUGAGAAGGGAUUCCCCAAAAAUUCUGGGUGAGUUGAGUCCCUGUAGUAGGUAGAGGCAACACAGCCUGUUCCAGGUUCUCAGGCUGAAAGACGAUAGGAAGUAGAGUUGGCCCCGGAGCCUGCACCUGCUUUGAAUGUUUGAUUUCCACAUCAGGAAGCCUCAGAGGAGAAACUGUAACCUCCUGUAGGGCCACAGAAUGUUCAGCCUCUGUAAUGGCUUUUGGCCUCAUGGUAGGACCCAUAUAAAUUUGUGGUACCACGCCACUGGGGAAUGUUGGAGCCUUAACUUUAUCAACCUGUGAUGUCAGAGUUGUCAUUUCAGGAGCCAUUGUGUAUUUAUCUCCAGCCUUCAUAGAUGGCUCUAGAGGCUUGGAGGAGCUCUGCUGCAUCACUGAAGGAAUUUGAGUUCCUGUAGCAGGUGGUGGGGUGAUGGAAUGCUCCAUGUCCAAAAAUUGAAGUGUGCUGGGAGUGAGGAUGGGGUACUGUGUGUGCACCUGGUCUGGAUGUGCAAGGGUCACCUCAGGAUGCUUCUGAGGAGAAGAAGCUGCCUUCUUCAAGUCCACAGAAUGUCCACCCUCUACAGUAAGGUCAGGAUGUGUGAUAUGGACCAUGUCCGGUGGUUGUAUAAUGCCACUGGUCAAUGGUGGAGGCUGAGCUGGACUCUGACCCAGUGAUAUUUGAUUUGUUUUAGCAGGUGAUACCAUAUUUUGAUCUACAGCCUUCAAGGAAGGCUCUGGAGGCUGAGAAGGGAUUCCCCAAAAAUUCUGGGUGAGUUGAGUCCCUGUAGUAGGUAGAGGCAACACAGUCUGUUCCAGGUUCUCAGGCUGAAAGACGAUAGGAAGUAGAGUUGGCCCCGGAGCCUGCACCUGCUUUGAAUGUUUGAUUUCCACAUCAGGAAGCCUCAGAGGAGAAACUGUAACCUCCUGUAGGGCCACAGAAUGUUCAGCCUCUGUAAUGGCUUUUGGCCUCAUGGUAGGACCCAUAUAAAUUUGUGGUACCACGCCACUGGGGAAUGUUGGAGCCUUAACUUUAUCAACCUGUGAUGUCAGAGUUGUCAUUUCAGGAGCCAUUGUGUAUUUAUCUCCAGCCUUCAUAGAUGGCUCUAGAGGCUUGGAGGAGCUCUGCUGCAUCACUGAAGGAAUUUGAGUUCCUGUAGCAGGUGGUGGGGUGAUGGAAUGCUCCAUGUCCAAAAAUUGAAGUGUGCUGGGAGUGAGGAUGGGGUACUGUGUGUGCACCUGGUCUGGAUGUGCAAGGGUCACCUCAGGAUGCUUCUGAGGAGAAGAAGCUGCCUUCUGCAAGUCCACAGAAUGUCCAGCCUCUACAGUAAGGUCAGGAUGUACGAUAUUGCCCACGUCCAGUGGUUGUAUCAUGCCACUGGUCAAUGGUGGAGGCUGAGCUGGACCUUGAGCCGGUGGUUUUUGGUUUGUUCUGUGAGAUGAUUCUCUACGCUGACCCAAAGCCUCCAUCAAUGGCUCUGGAUAAGAUGUGGUCUCUGGAAAAGCUGGGGAAAGAGGCACCGCUGAAGCAGAUGGGGAAGUUCUGGUCUGUUCUCCCUUCAAAGCCUGAGAGAUGCCAGGAGUCAGGAUUGGUUGCCGAACCUCCCCCUCCUCUAGCUGUGCAAGUGUCACCACAGGAUGCUGCAGAGGAGAAGGUGUAACCUCCUUCAGGGCCACAGAAGGUUCAGCCUCGGUAGUGGCUUUAGGAUUUUGGAUAGGGCCCGUGUCCAUAGGUUGUUCCGUGACACUGGGUGAUGUUGCAAGUUCCCUCAGGGAUGUUGGAGUUUUCAUUCCACGUUGCAGUGUAUAUUGUGCUUCAGCCUCCAUAGAUGGCUCUGGAAGCUGAAUUGAGGUCUGCAAAUAUGGGUGGAGUUGAACCUCUGAAGUAUGGAGAGGAGUUGUGGAGUGCUCCAGGUUCAGAGCCUCAAUGAUGAUAGGAGGAAGGAUUUGUUGCUGAGCCCGUACCUCCCCUUGAUGUGAAAAUGACACGUCCAGAUUUUUCCGAGGAUAAAAUGUAACCUUCUGCAGGGCCACAGAAUGUGCAGGCUCUGUAGUGUGUUCAUCACUUGUGCUAAGCAACAUGUCUAGUGGUGGGAUUGUGACAGGUGUUAAUGUCGGAUGCUGAGUUGGAUACUGACCAGGCAUUGGAACUGGCAGCUCAUUCACUGUUGGCCCUUGUGUCUUAGCAGAGGCUGACUGUAGUACUGGAGAUUGUUCCUUGGGUAUCUCCCCAGAUCUCAGGAUGGAAUUUGGCAAAGGCGGGAGAUGAGUUGCACUGCUCCUUAGGGAUGGAACACUGACCUUUUCAUUCUCUGACAGCUUACCUAAACCUGCCUUGGUAAAAAACUUUUGUUGGCCUAGGGCCUCCUGAUGGAUAAAGGAAGGUACAGUCUCUUCAGCCGGCUGUGAGUCUUGAUAAGGGCCUUCUCCCUCAGGUAGAGAGGACUGGAUUUGGGGAGCCUCUAGAUGUUUAGUCUGGGUCUCCAGCUGGUAGUGGGAUGUUUCCUUGUGCUCACAGGGCUGUGGAGGCUCAGUUGGCUUCUGAAGAUCUCCCAGGUGUAGGCUGUCAUGUUCAGCUUUACCCAUACUGAGAUCCACAGUUUGUUUCUGAAGCUGAGGGUAUUCUGAUUGAUGAGCAGCUCCAAAAGCCUCCUUAGGAAGUUGCCAGUGCUGAGCUAUAUCCUUCAGUUUCAGGAGUGAAACAAACUUUGAUGGUGUUGAACUCUUGCUUCCUAGUAGUAGACGCAAUACAUGUGACUGGUGGUCUGCAGCCUGCUCUGAAGCAGAAAUCUCCUCCUUUCUUCUGACUUGAGAAGGCAGAGCUAGGUGUUCAUUCUCAUGCCCAUCUACCAUUGAAUCCACCUCUGGGAGCCUCUGUGGCCCAACCAGCUUGUCAUGCAGACCCUGAUGUGGAACAGCAAACUUAUCUGGAUCCGGCAGUGACUCUCCAGUUGAUUCCUCAGGUAGAACACAAACUUGUACCAGACCUACUAGGUUGAAAGCUUCAUUCCCCUAUGUCAUUUCAAGGUCCCACCAAGAUCAUUGGAUGGAGGUAAGAGAUUGAUUUUGUUUCAUAGCUUCUGGACUAGAACUUAUUGAAAUAACAAAUUUUUUUUUUGUCUUUUUCCUUUUUAUCGGUACCAGGGAUCGAACUUACGACUGCCUGCUUGCAAGGCAGGUGCUUAUGCCGCUGAGCUAAAUCCCCAGUCCCCUAGGCAAGUGACUCCUGGGACCCUCCCAGACUGAGUGCCAUGCCAAUUCACAAACCGGACUACAUCCUGGAUUAAUUCUUCACUUUUCAACAUUCAGGAACUGCUUAAUUUGUUGCCAAUCGCUCGCAAACAACACCGGCCCAAUUUAUCACAGGGAUAUUUAUGUGAUUCUAAAAACCACCCUCAGCUCACAAGAGUGAACUCAGCUGUGGCAGGCAGCUCAAGAAGAAUCUAUCACAGACAUAAGGCAAACACAACCGAAUGACCUGGAUCUACUGCAGUGCCAGAAGAGGAUCCUAACUGGAACUAUCAAAAUGGAGAAGCAGUGGCACUUGGAGCUCCCAAGACAGGAAAUCCUAAACAAGGUGUGGCUGCCCGAGCCCCGCAUGGACUGUGCUUUAAAUGCAGCAAACAAGGACACUGGGCAAAAGACUGCCCCAACCCUGGCAUUCCUUUAGGGCCGUGUCCCUACUGCAACAUUAAGGGCCACUGGAAGAGUGACUGUCCUAGCUGCCAGUGAGCAGGUAAACCAUCCUCUAACUCCUUGCCCUCACAGGAGACUCCAUCAAUGCCAGAUUCAUCACUGACUGAUCUGCUCGGACUUGCUGCUGAAGAUUGAUGGGACUAGGGGUUCACAGCCCCCACUCCAGUAACCUUGUCAGAGCCCUGAGUCUCACUGGAGGUCUCAGAUAAAAUAAUAUCUCUGCUGGUGGAUAGGGGUGCGACUUAUAGUGUACUUCCUGAGUUUUCAGGACCUUGUAGUAAGUCCUCAAUCUCUGUUGUGGGCAUUGGCGGCCAGCCUACCCAGCCUUUGCAAACUGGGCCUGUCCCAUGCAGAUUCCAGACUCUUUUCUUUACCCAUAGCUUCCUAGUAAUCCCAACAUGUCCCACACCACUUUUAGGUAGAGACCUCCUUCAAAAGCUUAACUUCUCCUUUACUUUCUCCCUCCCCACAGCCCUAAUCCUCCAAAUAGCCUCACAAUGCAUUGCAAAGCCAUUCCCUCCCCUUCCUUUUUCUCUGGUUGACCCCAUAGUUUGGGACACCUCCAAUCCCACCCUUGCUAGUCAUGCCAUGCCUGUUUUAAUCCGUCUCGGGGAUCCUUCAAUUUUUCCUUGCAUUCCCCAAUACCCCAUAGCUCCUCAACCUUUGCAGGGAUUUAAACCCAUAAUUAAGCGCCUUUUAGACAAUGGUUUUCUUAAACCUACCCACCUACCCCACAAUACUCCCAUUCUCCUGGUACUCAAGCCUGAUGGGUCCUAUAGCCUGGUACAGGACCUUAGGGUAAUUAACAGUGCUGUUACCCCCACUCACCCAGUGGUGCCAAAUCCCUAUACCAUGCUUUCUCAUAUCCUUCCCUCCACUACUCACUUUACAGUUAUAGAUCUUAAAGAUGCCUUCUUUACCAUCCCCCUACACCCUGAUUGUCAGGACCUCUUUGCGUUUACAUGGACUGACCCAGACACUUUCAGGUCUCAACAACUUACUUGGACAGUGCUCCCCCAAGGGUUCAGAGAUAGUCCCCACUUCUUUAGUCAAGCUCUUGCUACUGACCUCACAGAACUUGAUCUCAAACCUACUAUAUUCUUCAAUACAUAGAUGACCUUCUGUUAUGUUCUCCAUCCCACAUGUUAGCCAUACACCGUUCAGUCUUCUUAAUUUUCUUGCUAGUCAUGGAUACAGGGUCUCUCUGGCUAAAGCCCAGAUAGCCUCCCCAAAAGUCAAAUACCAAGGUCUUGCUCUCACCCUGACCACAGGUUCCAUCACCACACAUCGUAAGGCAAUCUUCAUGAUCUCCAGGUGCCCACAACUAAACAACAGGUUACAUGUUUCCUAGGUUUAGCAAUUUCUUUCAUCUCUGGAUUCCUAACUUUGCAGCCAUAGCUCAACCCUCUACAAGGCCGCUAAGGGUUCCUUAUCAGAACCCCUGGACUCUACUAGGCCCAUGCAUGCCUCCUUUCAUAAAUUAAAAGAGGCUCUCCUAAAAGCUCCAGCUCUUACCCUUCCUGACACCACCCAACCUUUCACUCUAUAUACUACUUCUCAGGGCCACAACACUAUAGGUGUACUAGGAUACAAAAAGGGACCUUCUUUUCAAGCAGUAGCUUACUUCUCAAAACAGUUAGAUAAUGCAGUAAAAGGAUGGGCUCCUUGUUUCUGAGCCCUUGCAGCUGCAGCCCUCUGACAUAGCAAGCUAAGAAGUUUACAUUAGGGCAAUCUAUUACAGUACACUCACCUCAUCACCUACGUGAGCUUAUCUCACAUGAGGUGCUCUCUGCCCUGAUGAGCCCUUCUCGCCUUCAAUGGGUACAACAAACACAGGCAACAACAACAACAAAAAAGGCAGGAUAUAAAUAUGCAAUAGUUAACCAGUCAAAAGUUAUAGAGGCAAAUCCACUGCCACCUGGCACCUCAUCCCAGAGGGCACAACUUAUUGCCCUUACAAGGGCUCUUACACUAGCAAAAGACAAAAUCAUAAAUAUAUACACCAACUCAAAGUACACAUUUAGCAUUUUACACUCUCAUGCCUCUAUCUGGCAAGAACAGGGUUUUAUUACCACUCAGGGAACCCCCAUCAUUAAUGCUCCCCUUAUCCUUAAACUUCUAGAGGCAGCCCAACUUCCAAAGCAGGCAGCAGUUAUUCAUUGUAGAGGACACCAAAACUCUACAGAUCCUAUUGCUCAAGGCAAUGCCUUUGCAGAUUCACAAGCCAAGUUAGAGCUGCACAAGGGCCCUGCCCUUCUCAUCUUUUCCCGUUAGUCCGAAACAGUCUACCUCAGCCUAAUUAUUCACCAGAGCAGUUACAGCUACUUCAUAAACCAGGUUACACACAAAACACUCAGGGAUGGAUUUUUCAGGGAUCUAAACUUGUUCUCCCGCAUCAACAGACCUCAGACAUGAUCACUGACUUACACAACUACUUUCAUAUAGGAUCACAGGCCCUAUACAAACUCUUAGCCCCAGUAGUCACACAUCCUUGUCUAAAAGCUAUCAUUCUUAAGAUUACUCACACUUGUGAUCUCUGUGCCAAGACCUCUCCUCAGGGACGCAUGGCACCCCCUUCCUUUCCUACCCAGCAGUUUCGAGGACACAUCCCUGGUCAGGACUGGCAGAUAGAUUUUACACACAUGCCCCGCCACAAAACUCUCAAAUAUCUUCUCAGUACCUUUUCAGGAUGGAUAGAAGCCUUUCCCACAAACAGGGAAACUGCUGAUGUAGUUACCAAAGUCACAUUACAAGAAAUCAUCCCAAGGUUUGGUCUACCUCAGAGUAUUCAGUCAGAUAAUGGUCCCGCCUUUAUUUCUCAGCGCACUCAACAGGUAUCGUCGAGCUUACACAUCACCUGGCACCUACACACCCCAUACCAUCCACAAUCCUCAGGGAAAGUAGGAAAGGCAAAGACCUCAUAAAGACACACCUUAAAAAGCUCACUUUAGAGCUACACCAACCUUGGCCUCAACUUUUGCCCUUAGCCUUAGCCAAGCUCAGGGCACUUCCCCAAGUUCCUACCUUCUUAAGUCCUUUUGAACUUAUGUUUGGCAGGCCAUUCUUACUCCACAAUCUUCCUGCUCCCCAAAAUCUCCCUCCGCUUUCUGACUAUGUCCCAGUCCUCUCCUUCCUCCAACACCUGUUGUGACAACAUGCUGAUCUCUGCCUUCCACAACCCUCUGGAGAGACCAAACCAGAUCCUCCCAUAUCCCCAGGAGAUCUAAUUUAUCUCAAAUGUUCUAAAUCCACAGGACUACAACCAAGGUGGAGUGGCCCCUAUCUGGUCUCCUUGACGACCCCAACAGCGGUCAAAGUUGCUGGACUCCCAUCCUGGUUCCACACCACUCAAGCAGUGUCCUCCCAGCCCUAAGUCUAACCAUCCUGAGUGGUCAUCUCAUCUUCUGUCACCCACCUGUCUCCAUUUCACCAAGGCCUCACAGCCACAACUGUCAGGCUAAGUCAUGUUUUGUUGUCCAAUUUGGUGCCUAAUUUUUUACAUUCUAUUAAUUAUCCUUUUUAUAGCAGGACUCUUUUUUUGUUGUUGUUUUGUCUUUUUCCUUUUUAUUGGUACCAGGGAUUGAACUCACGACCGCCCUGCUUGCAAGGCAGGCAGGCGCUUAUGCCGCUGAGCUAAAUCCCCAGCCCUAUAGCAGGACUCUUGACAGUCUUUCCUAAAGACUCCCACAUCGUGCCUAAGAUCUUCGUCAUAUUGUUCUAUGUGACAACUAUCUUAGUUCUCUCUACCCUCUGUUGUUUAGUCAAACAUGACAUCCCUACAGGCCUAGACUCUUACCUUCCUUAUAGUGACACAGCCACAGCUAUCCCCACCCCUCCUAUCCUUUCCAACUCAUCUCCUGGACCAGAGGCAAGUUCUGCCUACCUACACUUUGCUACCUUUUCAGAUGGGAAAAUAAUCGCCUCUCAUUACUUCACUCCUCCUAACCCCACACUUAUUUUUCAGAAUUGCACCUCACCGUGGUAAUGAUUUUACAUAUCUAAAUCAAAGGCACCUUUCCUUCUACCUCUCCUGGGUCCUUGAAUGUGAUAGUGGCCUGCCUCCUCAUAGCGCCUUGUCUCUUUGUUUUUCCAGUCUAAUGUGCAGGCAUUCACCAAUGAUACAGUUGUCCUGGCUGAAACACCUGGCACCAGCUUCUACAUGGGCGUCUGUCUAUAUUUUAUAUAAUAAAUUUUGGGGCCUGUAGGUUGUUUUUUUGUAAUCACUCUAAUCACAUAGACCUUUGUAACAUAUAGUAUAAUUAUGAUGGCACAAAUGCCAUGAGGGUCUAUAUAUAUUUUUGUUUGGGUAUUUUUGUUUAUAUUUGGGAAUAUGUUUAGGGGGAUUGUCUUUUUUUACUUUAGUUUUACUAUUAUUGUGAAAUAUAUAUAUUAUAUCUACUCUCCAGUGUGUUUUAUUACUAAAGUUUUUAUCUCAAUCAGAGUAUCUUUUUAUUAAUGUAUAAUUUUUAUUUGUUUUAGAAAAACAUAAGGGUAUUGAAGUAGACAUUGUAGUGUAAUUAUAUAUAAUAGAGACAGGUUGUAUAUGAGUGGAAGAAGGAAAACUUAAGACCCGGGUAUUACUUAUAUAAACAGUAACAUCAUCGUUGUCACCCCAUGAUAUAGGGUGCAACAAAGGAGGAUUAGGUAUAAAUGUCCAAUAAUUAUCCGCCCGCACAGGCGCUUGAAAUGUAUGUAAAACCCAAAUAAUGCUUAGCAAUUGAGACAAAAACAGAAGGGUUUUAUCUUUUGUCGCCGGAGGCCUUUUGGUCUGUUUUGUCCUUGAGGUCAUAGUUGGUUGAAGCAUCUUUUUGUGUAAUUUUUUUAUCUUGUUUUUGGGCAUGUUGUACACAAUGUUUUGGGGUCCACCUGGGUGUAUUAGCAUCUGUGGGAAAAACACAAACAUAUCUUCUUCUCCAUAUCAAUACUGGGUCAGGGCCAUGUAAUAGAUUAGUUAAUGGGUCUUUUCAAUAAACCAUAGGUUUGGAGGGCAAAUCAGGAGACCAAUGUCUCUCAGCUGUAGAUCUAUUGGAAGCAUCAAAAGUUAAAAAAUUAAGAGCGUAAAGAGUGUGGUUAAGAAGGGUUUGGGGAGAAUACUUAUAUCAUCUCCCCCUUUUUAAUUUUUUAAUGUGUUUUUUAGUGAGAGAUUAGCAUGUUUAACAAUUUUUUGUCUUUGAGGGUUAUAAGGUAAUCUAGUAACAUGUUUAAUAUGGAAAGUCUGACAGAAUUUGGCAAGGGGUUUACUAACAUAUGCUGGGCCAUUAUCAGUUUUACUGGAUCGAGGAAUGCCCAGGAUAGAGAAACAAUAUAGUAGGUGUUGUAUUACAUGGGCGGCAGUUUCUCCAGUCAUAGGUGAGACAAGCAUGUAAUGAGAAAAGGUGUCCAUGGUGACGUGUAGGUAUUUUAAUGACCCAAAAAAAGGAUAAUGAGUGACAUCCAUCUGCCACAUGUCAUUUGGACAGAGUCUUCGAGGGUUGACUCUAAAAUGAGGUACUGGAAGGAGUGGCGCACAUGAGGGACAAUUUUUAACAAUUUUUUGUGCUUGUUGUCGUGUUAUACCAUAUUGAUAACGUAAGACCUUUGUAGCUUGGUGAUGAAGAGCAUGUGACUGUUGUGCUUGUGAAACAGCAGACAGUCUAAUAUGUGUGGCUCGAUCUGUGAUUGUAUUUUUAUGAGUUAAAGUGCCUGGAAGAUUAGAAUGACUGUGAAUAUGUCUUAUAAAACAAGGUGCAGAUGGAGAAUGUAAAGAUGAUUGAAUGAGACCAAAUAACUAUGUAACAAGGAUAUUGGCAGUGUUGGUAACAGGGAUGCAUUUUAAAACAGACAAGGCUUGUAUUAUAUAUUGGCUGUCUGAAAACAAAGGGAAUAUCAAAGAAAAGAAUAAAAGCCUGAUGAACAGCAUAAAGUUUAGUCUCUUGAGCUGAAGCACUCUUCAAUUGUCACACAUAAGUUUGAUUUGGGGGUAUCAAAGUAGCUUAUUUAUUGGAGCUUUUAUCUGAAAAUAAAGUAAUAGCACUAACAAGGGGUUUUGUGUGUAUGAUUUGAGGAAAUAAAAAGGUAAUUUUAGAGGCAAAUUGAAGAAUUUUAUCCUUGGGAUAAUGAUGUUGGAUUUGACCGGUAUAGGAAGCUAGAGAUAGAGGAAAAUAAUCAGUCAUAUUAAGCAGCCAUUUGAGCUGCUCAGAUGUAUAAGGGAUUAUAAUAGAGUGAGGGUCUCUUUUUAAAUGUAUUAUAGACAGGUUUUUUUUUUUGUAUAAUCUUUUUUGUAACCAAAGAGGUGUAAGGGGGGAGAGCCCUUUUUGGGGAAUGUGAACCAUGAAUCUAUGAGAGAGCUCUCUGUUGAUAUAAUACACCUGUAGGAGAAAAGGACAUGGGUAUGAUGAUAAGGGACCAAGGAUUGGAAUAAUCACAAUAGUGAAGCUGCGCACUUUGAAGAGCUUUAUUAACCAGUUUAAGAGCUUUGCGAGCUUUUGCUGUUAUUUGGCGAGGUGAACUUGGGUUAGAAUCUCUAGCUAAUAAGGAAAACAAUGGGUGGAGGUCUUGAGUAGUUAACUUUAGAGAUGGCCGGAUCUAAUUAAUUUUAUCCAAGAGUUUUUGAAAAUCAUGUAGCGUAUGUAAGUGAGAAGUAUUAACAGACAAUCGUUGAGGAGAAAAAUGCCGUGAAUAUAAGUGAAAACCUAGAUAAGAAUAAGGAGGUGAAGUUUGGACUUUUGUAGGUACGAUGACCAGCCCAUUAUUUGUUAAAUCUUAGUGAAGAGAGGCAUAUAUUUGUAAAAGCAUCUCAGAAUCUUGAUGGGCUAUUAAAAUAUCAUCUAUAUAAUGAAUAAUGGUGGCAGAGGCAAAUUUGGAUCUGGUAUUGGCAAUGGCUGUAUGUAUAAACUUUUGGCACAGGGUGGGGCUAUUAGCCAUAUCUUGAGGUAAUGUAGUCUAUAUCUUUUUAUAGGUGAAGACAAAUUAUAGGAAGGAAUAUUAAAAGAAAAUCUCUUGUAAUCCUUGGGGUGGAGAGGGAUAGUAUGAAAACAAUCUUUAAACUCAAAAACAAUACGAUGAUGUGACAGGGGUAUUGUCAUAGGUGAUGGAAGUCUAGGCUGAAGAGCUCCCAUAGGAAACAUAGUAUUAUUAACUUUUUUAAGGUCUUGUAAUAAUCUCUAUUUUUAAAAUUUUUUUUAUCACAAAUAUAGGCGAAUUUUAGGGGGAGGAAGAAGGUCAGACAUGACCACAGACUAACUGUUUUUGUAUUAACUGUCUGGUGGCUUGGAGCUUAGCCUCAGGCAGGGGCCACUGAUCUAUCUAUACCGGUGUAUCAGAUUUUUAAUUAAUUUUAUCAGCAUGGAUAGCAGGACAAUCAGCGGCCGCUAAGAAAAACCCAACCCCUGUUUAUCAUUUUUUUGUGGGAUGCAUAAAGGGUCUUUGAUACCCUGAUUAUUUUUUUUAUGUCUGCAAAUGGCAAUUGGUCCAUUUGCAACAUCUGUUUGGUCACAGUGGGACUUGGACUUUGUAAGUAUACUCUUAGUUGGCUUAGUAUGUGUCGUCUCUAUAAAUUUAGGGGAAGAUUAGGUAAAACAUAUGGUUGGAAUUUUUUAGUAUGUCUCUCUAAAUCAGUCUAGGAUAAUAUAGAAGAGGACUUAAAGGGAGCAGGAGCUUGUCCAAUUUUUUGGAGAAUGGCAGGGGCAGGAUCUAAUGGCCGGGAUGAAGGCCAAUCUUGUUGUCUUAUAACAGAAACAUCAGCCCUUGUAUCUAUUAUUUUAAGAAAAGGGUUUUUUUUUGUAUUUUUAGUAAGCACUCUGGCCUUUUAUCUUGUAUUUGUUGAAUAAGAAAAGCAUCAGAGGAGCCAAACCUUUGGGUGUCUCGUUUUUUUUUUUUAAGCAUCUUUUGUUUUUUUUAAUAAGGGGCAACAAUAAUAACUGUGCUAUAUGGGUAUCUAGGAGUAUAUUGAUGACUGUUGUAUCAGUUUUAGCCAUAACUUUAAUUUUUUUUUAUAAUCUUGAUCUAUCAGUCUAGUAAAUCUAUUUUUUUUAAUAAUAAUCCCCAAUUGUUUGGAGGUAACGGGCCGUAAAUACCGGUAGGUAUCAAUUGGACUCUUAGCUCUGGGGUUAAUAUGAUGUGGGUGGAGGAACUGAGGUCUAAUCUUGUGUUUUUUGGAGUUGUUUUGGAGAGGUCUGAAACCGAUUGUUUUUGGGUUAAUUGUCCCGAAGAUUUGUUGUCGGGCCUGGGGCUGGCCCCUCUUGGAGUUUUUUUGUUGGGGGGGGGUAGUAGAUUGUCUUUUUUUUAAUCUCUUUUAGAAUAACAUUUAUUAGCCCAGUGAUCUUUUCUUUUUGUAGCGUGGACAUAACCCUGGGGCUUUUGGCUUUUUAUCAAUUUUAACUUUAUUGUUUGUAUUAUUAUCAACUUUUGGGGGACCAGAGCAUUGUUUAGCAAUGUGUCCCUUUUUUUAUAAUUAUAACAGCUUUUUGGAGUGCCAUGGGUAUAUUUUUUGUGUUUGUUAUGUUGUAUUGUCAGACAUUUUUGUAAGGUUUGCCCCUUUAGAGCAGCUGCCAUAGACAGCCUUUGGAUGUACCCUGUUUUUAUGUCUGUAUAGAGUCUGACAUAGUUACUUAGGGUACCCCAACCCUUUUAGGGUCAAAGAGCUGUUUGACAGACUGUAUUGGCAUUUUUAAAAGCCAAUUUUUUUAUUAAUAUAUUGCUGGUUUUUUGAUCACUUAUCAAUCAUCUAGCAGCCUGAAGGAGGCGAGAGACAAAAUCUUGAAAUGGCUCAUCAGGGCCCUGUUUAAUCUUGUUUAAUUUUCUCUUUUGAUCUAGACUGAGGUAACUUUUUUUAGGCAGCCAAAGCAGCCCAUUUAAUUAAAUCAUAAGCGUAGGCAGGAUAAUUUAAUUGUGCACCUAAAGCCAUAAAGGCCCCUUUUUUUUGAAGUUGGUCUAAUGAAAUUUUAUUAUUGAUUGUAUUAUCAUCUAAAGCAUAGCCUGUAGUGGUCUCUUUAUAUUUUGACAGCCAAAGAAGAUAAUCACCACCAGUUAACACAGCCUUAGCUAACACUUUUUAAUCUUGAGGUGGCAAGGCCUGACUCGCUAUAGAUUUAAGAAUAGACAUACUAAAAGGAGCAGUAGCCCCAUAUUGUGUAGUAGCCAUUUUUAAUUUGUUGAUAUUUUUAAAAGGAAAGCCUUUAUGUUUAUUAUAUGGUUGUCUCUGUGUUAACCCUUUUUAUUACUGGAUAAACCUGAAGUCUUUUCAGGUUUUUAUCUUGUCUCUGUUUUUUGAAGUGCGCGCUGCAAGGGGGGGAUGUUACCGCAGGCGCGAUAGGGCGUGUGGGUACAGGCGGGGACAACAAGGGCAGUGGUCUACAUCUUAUUUGGGCAACGAGAGGCGUUUUAGAGGCCUCAUGUUGAUCAAAUAAAGGUCUAGCCAAAGAAGAAGUAUUAUAACUUUUAUGUUGUUGAUCUCUUAACUUAGCCUUAGAUAACCUUUGAAUAUAUCAGACAAUUUUUUAAAUGUUUUAAUCAAGUUUUUUAGGCUCUCUGUUGGUUUUUUAUAUUGUGGGUUUGCCUGAUCUUGAAGCAUGAAAGCUUCAUGUUGAUGUUUAUAUUGGGAGGCUUUAUGUUUUAACUCUUUUUAUUAUUUUGGACCGAAUUUUUUGUUUGAAUCUGAAUCAGCUUUUUUAUCAGAGUAUCAGACUUGUAAAUUAUCAGGCCUGUUGUUUAUCUCAUUAGUCGUGGGGUGGUCGGGCUGCUCGUAACAGGGCAGCUCAGAGAGUGGUGGCGGAGCAGAGGGCAGGGGUGGGUAUAAGGAGGAUGUCACAUUUUUUUGUGGAUUUGGUUUUUUUUAUAAAACUUUUUUGAGUUUUUUUUUUAAUUUACUAAACUCAGAGUCUCUUUUUAAACAGUCCUUAAUUAGAGUCUAAAUCAGAAACACAUCUAUAGGAACCUUUUUAGGACCACAAGCACAAUAAUAAUCUUUAAUCUUUUUUUAUUGCCCUUUAUGUCUCAACAUUAACCGUUUUUUGUUUUGGAAACCAGGGGCAAACCUGAUGCACAAAAUCAACAAACCGAUGAAUUUGGAGUUUAGCUACGGGAAUGCCCCUACUCUUUAACAAAGAGGAAAUAACUUGUUUAAAAAGUUUCCGUUUUGAAGAUGGGGAAUUAUCCAUUUCUAAUCUCUGUGUAUAUGUCACUCUCUGUUAUUUUUGCUUUUACUAACCCGGGUCCUCGUAGCAGCGGUCUUUUUGAAACUCUCGAUUUUUUUUUUUUUUUACUGGAAGAACGCUCUGAAUGUUUGUGCUCAAGCCCCACGUUGGGCGCCAGGUGCCACGGCCAGCACGGGGAAGGAGUUAGGCAGGAGACUGAAGACGCAGGGAGACCGAUUGCUCAGGAGGCAAAAGGCGAUUUAUUAAAGAACUCCAGAGUUUUUAUAGUGUUUCAAAACAAAGAACAGUACAAGUCACUUUAGGACAUUUUUCUGUGCGUGCAGCCAAGGUAAACAUGUUUUUGGGCCGAUGAGAAACUUUUUUGUUGUGCAGCCCAGAAGGUAAACAUGUUCCUGGGCCCAUGAGAAACUUUUUUGUUUAUGUUAUGAAGCUAUUCCCAGGUUAAUAUUAGCAUGAUGCUUUGUCUAGAAGGCUGAGGUUACUGUAGGAUAAGGAACUGGUUGAGGUCCAGCUUUAGUGUGUGGUUUUUCCACACCCAUUCACUGCCGGACCUCUGGUUCCUGCUCCCAAUAGGCAUCAACCGUCAUCCUGUCAACCCUCCUAAACCCAAAGCAGCUCCAAGGUUCCUGAGUGAAAGAGGGAAGGGUCGUCCAGUCACAGUAGACAGCUGGCAGUUGGACAGUAGACUGGGCUGAAGUCUGUGGAGAAGUAGGAGCUGGGACCAUCCAGACUCAGUUCCACUGGAGGCCAAAAGCCAGUCUUAACCCUGGCUAUGACAGGAAGAAACCGUCUGCUCUGUGACCAGUGGCCCAAGCAGGCAAGCAGCUCUGGCCAGCGAAGGGACACGUGAGUGGCAUGGCCAAGAUCAACCCUGCAUCCCGCAGAAAUCCUACUAUAGACUUGGUGUGGUUGCUCAGUAUAGAUUCCAGCUCCGAUGAGUGAACUAACACAGAACUGGAGCCACCAGAAGAAUUUUGUUUUGAAGGUGGUGGUUUAGGUUUGGACUUUAUCGCUAGGUUUGUUUUCUCUGUCCUGUCUUCAUUCUUUCUCUCCUGUUCUCUUCUCUAGCUCCCAGAGUUUGGGUGGGUCAUCCUUUGUCCUUCAGCCUUGCUUAUAGUAUAUCUCUCUUCAGCUAUUGCUCUGUCAGGGGCCCUAUCUCUCUAAAGUUCCCUUCCCCACAGGGUAAAAUCACUCCUUCAAGGGGAAACUCACUGUGUACAAGUCCCUGGUUUGUGUUGCAUGCAGUUAUUUAACUGUAGAUCUUGCUCCCAGGGUUAGAUAGCGAAUUAGCAGUUACCACAGACUGAUUUCUAGGCUGUGCUUGAUGAUGUUACAGCUAAUUGUACUACUUUAGCCAGGAUGCCAUAUUCAUUGUAAUAGUGGUUCACCUUGUAUGAUGAUUGCGAUGUUUUAAAAUUUAUUAUCAUUUUUUUUCAGUACUAGGGACUGAACUCACAGCCUCUUCCUUCCCAGCCAGGUACUUAUGCCACUGAGCUAAAUCCCCAGCAUGAUGAUUAUUCAGUGUCAUAAUCACUGUGAUUAUUCAGUGUCAUAAUCAUUCCCACAGUCCAGAACUAAAGGACUGGGUAUAAGCCAUACAGAUGGUAACUCACCAUCCCUGAUAAAGUGGAAAGGUAGGACCUUGGGACAGACACAAAGACCAACAGCCAGCUAUACCUAGAAGGCAUCUCAGAGGAAUAGAUGUUUCCGAGACAAUCCCCAAUACCAGCGAUAAAGCUACCUAACAGAAGAAAAUUACAAAUUAAAAUUUAAAAAAUAGAAAAUGACAAGACACAGAAGCAAAAUGCAAUCCCAGCCUUGCAGCCCACCCAGGACAAAUCGAGGGGAAAAUAAGACAAGAAAACAGGUCAUUCACCCGAAUCUUCUGUAGGUUGUUUCCAAGAUUUGGCUUUUAUAAACUGUUGCUAUAAAUAUGGAUAAACACGUGGAAAUAAAAUAUCAACCUACUGAACAACCCAUGUGUCACAGAUUAAAGUGAAGAAGAUAUAGAGUAUUCACAGUUGAAUGAUAAUGACAAUACACCAUGCCAAACUUAUGGGACACAAUGAAAGCAGUCUUAAGAUGGAAAUUUAUAGCAGUAAGUACCCAUGUCAGGAAAACAUACCAAGCACAUACAAACAACUUAAUGUUGAAACUUAAACUUCUAGAAAAACAACAGGCUUAAACCAAAAGCUCAUAUAAGGAAGGAAAUUAUAGAGAUCACAGCACAAAUUAACAUACUAGAUAAAAACAAUACAAAGAAUCAAUGAAUCAAAGAGUUGCUUCUUGGAAAGAUUAAAUAAAACUGACAAACUAUUAGCCAAUCUUAUCAAAAAAAGGAAAAGACCCAAAGGAACAAAAAUUGCAACAGACUGCAGAAAUCCAGAAAACUAUCUCUACCUGCUUUGCAAACUUGUAUUCUAAUAAAUGGAAAAUACAGAAGAAAUGGACAGAUUCCUACAUACAGAUGAAUUGCCAAAGCUGAAUCAAGAAGAUAUAAAAAUCCUAAGUAACACAAUAUCCAUAAAUGAAAUUAAAGAUGUAGGUGCUGGGGAUUCAGCUCAGCAGCAUAAGCGCCUGCCCUGGAAGUGCUGUCAUGAGUUUGAUCCCUGGUACAGAAAAGAAAAGAAGGAAGAAAAGAAAGAAAGAAAAAAGAAAAGAAAAGAAAGAAAGAGAAAGGAAAGAAAAGAAAAGAAAGAAAAAGAACGGAGAGGCCAGAGGUGUCCAGGAAUGCUUGUGCAUAGCUAUAUUCCCAGCACUCAGGAGGCUGAGAAAGGAGGAUCACGGAGAGUUCAAGGCCAGCCUGAGCUGCACAGUGAAAUGAGAGAGAGAGAGAAUGUUGAACAAUUAUGAAGUUGGAAUGCCAACCACUGAAGUUUAGGAAACUAUUAAUGGCAAAGCCCAGCUAGAGCUGUAGCUCAAUAGCAGAGCGCGUGGUUAACAUGCACAUGGCCCUGGGUUCCACCCCAGCACUGAAUGAAAACCAGAAAGAAAGCAAAACCCAGUACAGGGCUGGGGAUAGAGCUCAGUGCCAUAGUACUUGUCUGGCAAGCACGAGGUCUCAAGUUUGAUUCUUGGUACCAAAAACACCCAAAAAAGCCAAAUAUACAAUGUUAGCUGCACUUUCCCACCAUCCUUCUGUCUCCACGUGCCAUCAUCCUCUGUUCAGAAGGGAAAAGAAAUGCUUUGCUGACCAGAGACAAGGUUUUAUUCCUUAUUUAUUAUGGAGUUUGGACCAAGAAUCCAGUGAGGGAAGAAAUCCUAGGAGUCAUCUUCCCAUUCUAAUUAGAGUGUAACUAGUUAUAGCUGAGAGAAUUCAUGAGUCUUUGUGACUAAAACACCAAAACUGAAAACUCAGAUGAUUAUUUAUCCAGCAGAUCUUUGUCAGUGUUAGACACUGAAAGGCCACCAGGAAAUUGAGGAUGAUCCCUGCCACCUCAAGUAGGUGCCUGUCUACCUAGAAAGAAAAGACUUCUGCCAUGACAGUAACUGCAGAGCCACGUUACGCAGGUGCCAAACACUUAGCCAUGCAAAAAAAAAAAACGGCAGCUCCUGGUACCUGGCUGCUGAAUCGGUGGCCACUGGCUCCAUCUUUCCCAGCAACAAGCAAGACAGAACAGAACAUUUUAAGUGAGCAAUAAAACUUGCAGACUCAUUAUUGUAGCAUCUACCAGAAUCUGUAGCUUGUACUUUUGAUUCUUUCAAUGAUUAUUUUCAUUCUACAUGUUUUUUGUUUGUUUUCCCCUCUGCCAUGCCACUCUCCAGAUGAUUCUGUUGUGAUAGUUUCUUUUCUUUCUUUCUUUGAGACAGGGUCUCGCUCCAUAGUUCAGGUUGGCCAUGAACUUACUAUGUAGCCCAGUUUUACCCAUGGCAACCCUUCUGCCUCAACCUCACAGGUGCUGAGACUAUGGAUCACUAUAUCUGGAUUCUCAGGCAGGGAUUUAGCUCAGUGGCAUAAGCACCUGACUGGCAAGCUCGAAGUCAUGAGUUCAAUCCCCAGAACCAAAUAAAAUAAAAUUCUUUAAUGCCAAUCUCUUUGUUGUAGAUCAGUGAUUCACAAGCCAACUCCACAAGUUACAUCUACCACUUUCAACUGAAAUGCGGCCUCUGAUAAAACACAUCAUCUUGUUAUACAAAGUGUGUCAGGAACAGGCAAUCAUGUGGCUCUCAUAAUUAUACUGAAUUUUAAUCACCAGCAUCAAAGAACCAGUAACGGACUUUCCAAAGAAUCUUACUUUGGCCCCUGAGCACACAGCCCCACGCAUGCACACACCACACUUACUUGCCAUCUGGUGCAUCUCCUCCAUACGUGCUCUUAUCACAGAUCGGUAGUUCUUACUCCCUGAACCAAUCUAUGAAAAAUGAGAACACAUUCAGGUUAAAUCUGGAGCAUCUUGUGGUUCCAGAGAGUAAGAGAGAGCUCAAUAAAGGUGAGAACUUGCUGAAGGAAGGGCAGCUCAACCUGAAGUCUGACAUAAUCCAAAGAUGGAAAAACCUGAAUGACACGAUAAAUAUGCUAUAAUUCAUGCUCUAAAAUAAAUACCGGAAUCUAGGCUGCUGUAGAUGAGAUUUAUUGAUAAUCACUAAAAUGAAUGGCUAACAUUUAAGGAGAAACAGGACUUACAUCAGCUCAAAGUUCCUUCCCUAAAGCACUCAUUAGAGACAAAGAAAAAUAGUUAACUUUUCAGUGAAGAAAUGACAUAAAUCAAGUGAUUGUCGUCAAGGUCACCCAAGAACAAAUGGCCACUUUGGUGCUAUCCUCACUAAUACAUGCUUGUCCAAGAAUGAGAAACCUCUGACGAACACAAACUGACAGAUGUUCCAUGAGACAACGGAUCAAUAUUCCUCAAAGUAGAAGGUCAUGAAAAAGACUGAGGGAGGGAAAAGGCCACCUCAGAAGGGAAAACCAGCAAAACAGAACUCGUCUUCAGUUGAGCAUACAGAGUCAGUGUCAAUCUUUGCAUCCUAGUUUUAAUAAUGACAUAAUACAAUUAUAUAAGAGAUUAAGAUUAGGGAAACUGAGUAAUAAAACAGAAACCAUUUUUUUAAACUUUUCUGGAAAUCUGGACAAAAUAAGUAAAUUAAAUAAAUAUGAAACACAACUAGUUCAAGCCAGACAAGGUGGUACACGCCUGUAAUCCCAGCACUCUGCGAAACUGAGGCAAGUAGAUCAAUCACAAAUUUGAGCCCAGCUUGAACAACUUAGUGAGACCCUGUCUGCGGGUGAGUUAAGGUAGAAGCUAGCGGGGGAGUGGGGAUGAGAAGAGACAAGAGACAAGAAUGGCGACAAGACAGGAUUCUGAUCAAGUCUCGUUGAUUCAAAGAAAGAGUAAUGAACACAUAGGGUAUUGGGGGAAGAGGGAGUUGGGUUCUGAGACAUCAGCAGGUGACCUAUAAACAGUGACAAGACCAGGGGUUAUGGGGUAAUUCAAAUCUCCCCUGCUUGGGUUCAUAAGGCAGGCUGAUUAGCAUAAUCCCCAAAUGGGCCAAACAGGCUAGGCAAGGAGAGAAGCUUAACUACCAAACGGAAAGUUAACUCCUGGAGGAGGUUAAGGUGGCUGCUGCCUGCAGAUAUAAGGCGGCAGCCAAUUACAGGGCUUCCCACACUGUCUCAACAUAAAAAAAUAAACAGAAGGGCUGGAUCUGCAUUCUUAGGGACAGGAAUUUAGCUCACUGGUAUAAGUGUCUGCCUGGAAAGUGCAAGGUUAUCAGUUCAAUUCCUGGUACCAAAAAAAAGGCUACAGAUGAACCUCAGGUUGAUGGCCCUGGUGCAACUUGGCCCUCCAUACUAAAACAAAAUCAAACCAGGGAAAUGAAAGAAUGAAGCAAAGGGGUUUUUUGGUAGCUGGUAUUAAAUUCAGAACCUCACUCUUUCCAAAGAGGUGCUGUACCACUGAGCUAAAUCCCCAGCCUCAAAAUGAAGCAAAUUAACAAGAAAACAAAACAAUCAUUUUUCAAUUUGGCUUUGGUGUUUUCCUGAGGCAGAGUCUCGCUACAUUGUCUAUGCUGGCCUUAAACUUUCUAUGCUUAAACCGGGUAUGGUGGCACACACCUUGGAUCCCAAAACUCAGGAAGGCUGAGGGAAAAUGAUCACUGUGAGUUCAAGACCAGCCAGGGCUACCAAGUGAGCUCAAGGCCAGCCUGAACUGCACAGUGAGACUGUCUCAAAAAGACUGGGCAGGGCAGGCAGGCGGGGAACCUCUCUAUCCUCUUGCCUCAGCCUCCCAAAUCCUGGGGUUACAGGAGAGUACAGGAGAGUGCUUGGAGUACAGGUUUACACCAUCACAGCCAGAUGAGACAUAGCUUUCCACUGCAAGAAAAACAUUUCUUCUAGAAGGCAAGACUUAAAGCCCACUCAGUGACUUCAUUUCAAAAUGAGUAAUAGGUUGAUAGAAUGAGGCACAGUGGCAGAGAUUUUCCCAGCCAGCUCAGGUCACUGGUUCCAUUCCCAGUUCCAUAAAAACUAUAAAGUCAAAGAGAAUAGUAGUGCCCAGGCCUGGUAGCCCUCACACAUAAUCUCGACUGCUCACAGGACUAAGGCAGAAAGAUCCCAAGUUCAAAGCCUGUCUGAGCAAUUUAGCCAGACUGAGAUUUUAAAAAGAACUAGUAAGUAGCUCUGGGUUCAAUCCCUAGUACCAGGAAAAAAAUAAGCAAAACAAAAUUUUCUAUUCAGUUUGCACCACUGGUGAUCAAACGCAAGGGUAAUCUCCCACUGAACUACAGCAUAGUCUUUUUUGAGACAUAGCUUUGCUAAAGUGCCCACAGGAUGGGUUGGAACUUGAUAAUCCUAUUUUAGCCUCUGGAGUUUCAGAAAGAAGUCGCCAAAGGUGACAUGGUUUGGUUUUAUUUGGAGAGAGGCUCUAUAAGUCUCAGGUUGGCUUUGAAUUCCAGGCAAUCCUCCUGCCGCAGUCUCCAGAUUGCUGGGAUGACAGACAUGUGACACCACAUCCAGCCAUAGCUUUUAAAAUUCAUUUUAAUAUUAAUUUUCAAAUCUCCUAAUUGGACCAUAUUCACUGACUCUUGUGCUGACUUGCCCUUUUGAAAGGGUAAGUAAACUAAAAAUAUAAACUGAUAAAGGGCCUGGGGACUUAGCUCAGUGGCACAAAUCCUGAGAGCCAUUCCCAGUACCAUAAAUAAAUAAAUAAACAAACAAACAAACUAGCCAACUCACUGAGCCUUUCUGGAUUUUCCAGUCAAUUCUCCUUCAAUCUCUGAAGGCCCACAAAGAUUCCAUGUGAUUCAUUGAAGAGUUUCCUUAAAAUUUUAGAAUAAGCAUCUACAUCCUUCCGGAUCAUAUAGACAAAGGGGCAGCCUGGUACCACCUCACAUUUUUCUGAAACUACGCAGAAAAAAAUACUGUGACAUUUAUCAUCAUCUCCCUCAAAAGAAAAGCCAUUCAGAGCCAAAUGCAAGCCUGUAAUCCUAGCAUUCCUAAAGUGGGCAUGGUGGUUUACCCCUGUAAUCCCAGUACUCGGGAGGCUGAAGCAGGAGGAUCUCUUCGAGUUCAAGACCAGUCUAGGCUACAAGUGAGCUCAAGUCCAGCCUGAACUGCAUAGAGACUCUGUCUCAAAAACACAAAUCACAGCACUCCUAGGCUGAGGCAUGGGCUGGGGAUAUAGCUCAGUGGCACAUUUGCUUGCCUGGUAAACACAGGCCCUGAAUGUGAUCUGCAAUAUUAAAAAAAAAAAAAAAUAGAAGACUGAGGCAAAAGGAUUGCCUAAAAUUUAAGGUUAUUCUGGGCUACACAGUGAGUUCAAAGCCAGCCUGAACAACAGAUGGUAGUGAGAACAUAUGUCAAACAAACAAAACAAACAAAACCUUUAGUUAGCUCAGUGGGUGUGAAGGCAUGACCUACUAUCAGCUACUCUGGGGGUGAGACAGGAGGGCAAAACAUUAAAGGCCAGCAUGGGCAAUUUCAUGACACCCUGUCCAUAUUGUCUCAAAAUUAAAAGAGAAAAAAAAGCUGGGAAUGUAGCUCAACAGUGGAGACACUGGGUACAAUCCCCAGUAUAUUCAGACAGACAGACAGAUGGUGCUUUAGCUCCCGGGCUACUAAUUUCAUUUAUAAACACUAAAGUUUAAAUCAAGUGUGGUAAUGCACAUCUAAUACCAGUGCUCUGGAGGCUGAGGCAGGAGGACUACCUUGAGUUCUCGGCCAGACUGAACUACAUAGUGAGAGCCUGUCUUAAAAUCCCUAAAGUGUAAUUUCCAUUUAUAUAAACUAAAGUCAGGGGCAGAAUGCUUGCCUACCCCAACAUCAAUCCACAAGGCCACUGCUGCAAGACCUGACAUCCCCACUGCACACAAAGGGACAUCUAAAGAGGAACUGAUUACAAUUUAUCGAUGACCUACACACCAUGAAUUUUACCUUUUAAUGCUAGAGUUGAACCUAGAACUUGGUACAUACAAAGCAUGUGCUCCGUCACUGAGCUAUAUACCCACUUUGUAUAUAUGAUUUUUUUGGUACUCCAGAUUGUAUGCUGUAUUUUUUUUCCCUUCUUUUUUAGGGGAGUACUGGGGAUUGAACUCAUGACCUCAUGUGUGCCACGCAGGCAUUUAUGCCACUAAGCUAAAUCCCCGGCCCUAAAUGCUGUAUUUCUUAAUACAGAAUUUCUCUUUUGCAUGGCAAACUCAUUGAUCUUUCUUUUCUUUCACUGAAGGAACUGAGGGCCCACUGUGCACAAUGUACUUAAAAAAUAUGAGUAAACCACAGCCUCCACCCUCAACACUGCUAUAAAAAUACUGAAGACAAGUCCCACACAAACUACAGUGCAUCUAGUGAGAAUGGACACGUGUCAAGGAGCAGUUUUGGAAAGCUUAAGUAAAACAGGUUUUAUUCCUUUGAUGAAUCAACUUUUCUUAAUUUUAAGCAGGUCAUACUACAAAAAGUGUGGGCCUUAUAUACAAUAAGAAAUAUACAAUAGUAUUCAAUUUCCUUGCAUGUAAAAGGCAUCACAUUUUUUUUUUAUCUUUUUCCUUUUUAUCAGUACCAGGAAUGGAACUCAUGACUGCCUGCUUUCAAGGCAGGCGCUUAUGCCGCUGAGCUAAAUCUCCAGCCCCUUGCAUCACAUUCUUACCUUCAGUCUUUGCCAAAACACUGAGGUAGGCACUAUGUAUGGCUUUGCUUUAAAAAGAUAAAUGAAUGGGCUGGGGAUUUAGCUGGGCAUAAGCACCUGCCUGACAAAUGGGAGGUCAUAAAUUCAAUCCCCUGUACAAAAAAAAGAAAAAGUAAACAAACAAACAAACAAAAAAACCAAGCUAUUAAUUGCCCAAAGGCACCCUCUGCUCAAAGAGCUGUGACUCAAAUGCAGCAGUCUACUCUCUGAUGGGAUUUUCAUCGUACUAAACGAGAGAAUAUAAAGUAAAAAUGGCCUUUAUUCUAAGAACGUGGAGUGAAACUCCAUGACCACUGGGGGCCUUGCUUUCUUGGCCAGAAACACGGUGUGAGGGGCAAUCGGGUGGUGCAAAUGGGUAAGUUGUAUAGGGGCGGGGAAAGUGACCUCAAGGUAAACAUCCCUUGGUCCUGCCUCCCAUUGCCAUAAUAUCUUAUCUAGGGCAAAAUUCUUACACUCUCUAGUCCCUUUUUGAUAUUUUAUGCACUGAUUCAAAUACGUUGACUCAUUAUUAUAUGUGGAGUAUCCUACUGGGAAAUGAGCACAGAGCAAUAAACAAGACUAUUCCUAAAGCUCACCUUCAGAUUCAAAACAUUUGCUUUCUAACAAAUACAGUAAUAUAAUUACAGAUUGUAUAUGGUAUAAAAGAAAUAGGUGAUGUGACACAAUCACUGGCAAAGACAACUUCCAUUAGGGAGCUAUAGAAAGGCUUCCUAUCAUUUCCUUCUGUUCACAAACUCAGGCUGGCCACACAGGCAAACCAGGACCCAGAGAGCAAAAGGUAGGAGAAGACAGACCACGGCGAGUGAAAAUGAAGUGGCGAGGAAAAUAAAGGUGGAAACAGACUUGUAAGUCACAGUGAGUUGAUGAAGCCCCCAAGCUGGGGCUGAAAGAGGAGCUGUGGCUUCAGAUAACACACCUUGACAUUUUGGAUAAGGACAGUAUAAACACAGCCUCUGACUAGAGCAAGAGAAUAGGGUUAGAAGACUUAUCCAAACUGAGGGGCUGGCGUCCUCAAACUUUAUUAUGGGGAUAAGCAUAACCAGACAAAAGAAAGAGUAGUUUCUCUACAAUAAGUCUCAUUUGGUUAAUUUCUGGCAAAACAACGUGUGUUUGCAAGAUAAAGAACGACAGGAGAGAAAUGAAAGAGACUACAUUGGACUGCGUCACAAAUUUUUAAAACUCACCAUUCCUGAGGUGGUAGCAGGAAUGGAGAGAGAAAGCUGUUACAGCCAUUCUGAAUGUGUUUGACACAGAUUCAAAAUGGGACCUCAAAGAUAGCUGCAGACUCCAACGUGGAGUAUGCCAAUCCCACCACACUAAAUAUAACCGAACAUGAAGACAUUUAUUCCACAAAAUGCAAUGAUUCGGUGUUUUCCCUGCUGAACAUCACCUAUCCUUAAUUAAUAUGGUUUCCUAUUACUUUAAGACUUUACCACAGAAGUGCUGGCACAUAACUCUCACUACAAAAUGCAUAGUGUGAUUCCUGAAAAUGGCGGCUGGCUAGGGGAUCAAGCGAAGAGUCUCUCCGGAGAAUUCACACUAGAAGCUAAAAAAAGACAACACGGAGAGGGCCAGACAAAUCGAUAGCGAUUCUUAUUAACCAAGACAGUAUAGCUGGAGGAUUUAAAGUCAAGCUGAGACCUUGAAUGCUGAUAACGGGAAGCUGCAAACCCCGCGCCUUUAAAUCAACAAGCUGACCCGUGGACCCAGCAGGGAAAGAUGAGUAGCUUUUGGGGACUGCAGGAAACUGAGACCCAGGCCGGGACUCCAAGUAGCAGCCAAGUCUGCACCGCUGCACCAGAGCGGAUGUACAAAGCUCGGGCGUUUCAAAUUUAAACGGUGCACAGAUAUCUGACCGGUCAGCGCUGUGCUGGGAGCGCACGCUGUGCACCGCCCCGCGCUGUCCCGGGAGUGCGGGAAAAGUGGGCAGCUUGGUGUGCGGUGGUCCAGGAAUGAGGACUUGCACCAGACUCUGGUGAGUAUCGGGAACCCCGCGGCUGCUGGGGUUGGCCAGAGAACAGCUGGCCCACCACCACGGGGAAAUCAAUAACACAGAGUCUGGUGCAGACAUAUUAGCCUGGCGGCAGAAACUGCAGCGUGGUGACAUUACCAGGUCCCCCUGAGGGGAGGGUUGGUGGAAGACAUCUUGAAUCCUGGCAGAGCCUGGUUACUUGCUGGCUUCAGCUCCACACAGAGAACUUAGUGGGAGACAUCUUAUUUUUGGGCGGAGCUGCUAUUCUGGUGCUGCUGUCACAGAGAGGUUUGGAAGAGAAUGGCUGGGAUUUGGGCAGAAACUUGUGCCAUAGUGACAUUACUCAGCUGCUUCUGGUACAAAGAGAAUUGGCAGGAGCUACUGGGGCUAAACCAAGCCUCUGCUUGGGGCCCAAUAAGCAGAUACAAAAUAACUACAACUCAGUGACUACCAGAAAGUACAGCCUAAUUUAUGAACUAACUGACACAGAGGCUAGAGACUAGCCUGUACCGCCCCUGCAUCCCAGCCUACCCCAGAUAACAGUAAAUUGGGGAGGACAGCAAAAACUCAAGCCAGCAUGCUUCUGAAAGGCCCUAAGCAAUUCGGAGAGGGCCAGAGAACUCCAGGACAGUCUGAAAGAAACCAGAAACAUGACAAGAGAUAAAAAAAAAAAAAAAAAUCUUCAGCUGCUCAACAGGAGAAAACAAGCCCAGGAGAACUAAACACUGAAGACAACAAGCACAGUAAUCAUCCUCUACUCGACACAGCAUCAGCUGAAAUUAAAAAGUACCUACAUGAUCUCAUAGAGGAAUUUAAAGCUGUACUCCUGAUCCAAGUAAGGCAAGAUAUAAAGAGAUUAAUUAAAGAAAUGACAAGCCCUGCCCAAGAGAACACAGAUGGAAGAACUGAGGAAAUCAGAAAAGAAAGAGAAGCAUCUGAAGAAGAAUUUAAGCAUAACUUAGAAUACAUGAAACAGAUCCAAAGAGAAUAUCAGGAAACUAAAAAUUCCAUUGAAUAUUGGCAAAAUGCCUUGACAGAAACUAAAGACAGCCUUCUGAAACUUGAAGAGAGAUUUAGGGCAUAUGAACGUGAAAGAAAAAGCCUCUUAAAAAUAACAAGGAACCAGAAAGAAGCAAUUCUAAAACUGGAAGAUGACAAGAAGAUACAUAACCUAAGAAUAAAGAAUGUGAGUGAGGAAGCAGGAACAUCCAAAAAUGAAAUACAAAAAAUAUUCACAGAUAUAUUAAAGCAAAAUUUCCCAUGUAUAGCAAAAAGAAAUGAUAUCCAGAUAAAAGAAGCAUACAGAACGCCAGCUACCUACAACCAAAACAGAUCUACGCCUAGACAUAUAAUAAUCGAGAUCCCAGAAAUCCACCAAAAAAACAGAAUAUUAAAAGCAGCCAGAGAAAAGAUGCAGGUUACCUAUAACGGAAAAUCUAUCAAAAUAACAGCAGACUUAUCAACGCAAACUCUUAAGUCAAGAAGGGAGUGGGGAGAAAUAUGCCAAGUCCUGAAGGAAAAAAAUAUGCAACCAAAGUUCAUAUAUCCGUCAAAACUCUCUCUAAAAA